Molecule: long non-coding RNA, 45687 nt
Filed under: Sorghum bicolor (sorghum)
Lineage: Eukaryota; Viridiplantae; Streptophyta; Magnoliopsida; Poales; Poaceae
Description: long non-coding RNA (SBIC_LNC010357)
Source: RNAcentral
CACACACCCACUACACCAUUCAUCACCAAUCAUUAAAAUUGUUAAAAAUAUUAUCACUGACUGUCCCGAAUAUUGUUAUUCUCUCUCUCUAAAAAGAUUCAAUGCAGAAAAGGCAUGGGUUAUGCAAAAAUAUGCGAGGAAACAAAAAGGGGCAAGUGCCCGGAACCUCGAAAAAGAAAGAAAAAGAGUGAGACGAGAGGUAAAAAUGGACAAGUGUCCGAAGUAGAAUUAGGGAUACAAAGACGCCCACUUGAGCGGAAAAAAUGGACAAGUGUCCGACAGUAGAAUUAGGGGUAUCUACUACCCACCUGAAAAAAAGAGAAAAAGAUAGCCCAUGUUCUCCCAAAGCAAAGAUCAAAGAGGAGGAGAGAUAGCAAUAUGAGGGGCAAUGAGAAGUAAGUUUUAUUAUCACUUAUAUAUCUUCCCCAUCACUAUCAUUUACUCCAUCACACAUGCACAUCUUGAUUUAAUUAUAUGCUGAGUUCCUUUGGAUCCAUAGCUCGAUUAGACAACAUAUGUAUGAGCUGUUUUUCACUCCUAUGAGCUCCACUUAAAUAUUCCAUUAGCUAUAGGUAAGUGACAUUAUGGUAAGGAUCCACAAAUAUCACAUAUAGAGAGACUUGAGAGAUCAUUGCUGGGAACUCUGAGUUUUAUUUUGAAAACUUAUGAAAAACUCUGGAACAAAGGUGAAGUAUAGACAGGAGAAAUAGUGCUUGACUUAAUUAUUUUGUCUUUCAAUAAAUUAAGACUUAAGUGCGGGUUCUAAAACUCCAUUACACUUCACUCUAAUCUGGAAGAAAUUUUAUGUAAAAGCAUGUGUGCCUGUCAGGAAAGAAAACAUCAAAGCAACUCCUGAUCCAUCUAAGUUUAGCUAUUUGCUCAGGGACGAGCAAAGGGUAAGCUUGGGGGAGUUUGUUGACAGUCCUUAAGUACUAAAAUUAAUAAUCAAAUAAACAUGGAAAAGGAUCAAUAUGAAACAAACAUCUAGAAUUAGGGUUUUAUCUGACAGAAUUCCACGAGCUUUGGUGUUUAUCUAUUUCUGCAGGGGGUUAUCAGAGAAUAUGGAGAGAAGGCCCACAUGUCAUGUUUACAACGAGAUAAUUAUGUGCCGCGCAAUUUUCUUCAAUCUAGAAGAGUCCAGAAGCCACGGGAACGAACGAGAGCACGAUCGGGCUCGGGGGCAGGGCGCCCGCCCACCCCCCUUGGGCGCCCGCCCAGGGUUGGAGUCCAAUCGGGACUCUGCUUUGGGGCUAAACUCCACCGACCUAAAGGAUCAAUCUAAACCACACAAUCAAUGUCGGUUUGAUCUGACGGCCCAAAUUCACACUCCACCCCUGGAGGAGAGAGGAGAAGAGAAGAAAUCAUUAUACAGAGGUAGCCAUCAAAGUUAGGGUUUAGAGCUUCUCUCCCACAGAGAAUUAGAAUUAGCUACUCCCUAAUCCUUCAAGUUUAGAGGUUUGAUUAGAUAGCAAUUAGAGAAGUAGAGCACUACGCUCUGGAUUCGGAUCUUCGGUAAUAAAGAUUGGUAUUAUUCAUAUCUUUCUCUAAUUCUUUAUUCUAAUUGCAUUAUGUCUCUAAUUAUUAUGUUCUUAGUUUGCUCUAGUUCUAUAUUUGAUAUAGUUCUAAUUGAUAAUGAGUUUAUGUAUAAGUUUGCAAAGCGCUUAGCUCUUGACGCGAGGGAGUUAGGUGAUAGAUCACAUGUGAGCGUGGUGCUUAGAUGUUAUUUAUCUGCAAAUGUAUCCUAUUGGCUGGGUCGUGUGGUAGUUUGCGAUAGUGACAGCUUCGUUGAUUCUUAUAUAGUCCACGCUCCGUUGAUAGGACAGGCAGAACCGGUAUUGUGGAGUAAGUCAUGCGAUGCUCUGAUUUACUUUAUCAAUGUUCCUUAUACAUGAAUGAAGAGUCUUUUAUGCUAUAUAUGAUCUUGUAGAUAACCAGAGUAGAUUAUGACUUAGUAGUUAGUAGAUAACUUAGAAUCCAUUCUCUAGAUAAUCCGACAUCACCUACAUAUAUGAGGAGUAGUCUAUUUUCUAAUCGCUGUGUUAUCUACCCAUGAACUUAUAAUUCAUUAUCUUUAUGGUUUACCCCCUGCUAAAGUAAGUGACUGUGUGACGAGUUUCUCAUUAGUAAUCAUGUUCUUGUAAGUUUAUCUCUGGUCUAUGCCUUGAUAGAUUUUGCCCUUAAUUUAAUCUCCUUAGUUCUCUCGAGCAAAAUUAUAAAUAACGAUACCUGGAAUACUUAUCCUGGUGAAAUGCUACAAUGAGGUGUUUUAUCUGUGCGCUUGCGGAUAGAAUAGAUUAUUUUCUAGAGAGCCUUUACAUUUAUAAAUACCUUUGUACACUCUGGCACCAUGCUGGGGAUGACAACCUAGUAUCUAAGUGGUGUUAGCUAGUGUCAACAAUGAGCAUUGCAUCAACAUAAGCAUCAUCAUGAUCACUCAUGAGCAUCAUACCAUGACCACAUGCCAUUUGCUACAUGUACUAUGUGAUUAAGUUGCUAUAUGACUUGCUAUGGUUGACUGUAAUGGGUGACUAAGGCAUACAAGUGUACAUUGUCUUCCAAAAUACUAUAAUCAUGUUUAGAACAUCAUUUUGAACAAAGUUCAUGUUGAAGGUUUUGGCCAAAAAUGUCUCUAAGUCAUGGUUAACCCUAGGUUGACCUAAUUGUCCCCCUAGACCUUCUUUCAAAGAUGUUUUAUGAAAAUAAUGUUAGAGACCUUGCAUGUCUUUGACACCUGAAACAAAGUUGUAGUAAAUUUCAUAAGCUAUAAAAGUUAGGUCAACGACUGUUUAUGAAAAAGCAUAGAACACAUCCAAAAUUUACUCACAAGCCAAAAAUCAGGGCUUAUUUCACACUUAGCCGAAUUUGGCUAAGUCUUGAAUCAGCCAGUUUCGACAUAGGGUGAUUGGGAGCAUUGUAGUUUGAAAUCCAGACUGAUUUAGACUAUGCUCGUGUAAUCAAACUUGUAGACCCCGUGUAGCCCUGUCCAAAGGAUCAAGUUUGAGCCAAAACCACCGAGUGAGCUGAGAGUAAAUCGUCGGUGAACUUUCGGUUUCACACACGGUCGACGACGACUGAAUCGCGCGAUUCGGUUUCGUCAGUUGCCGGCCGGCCGACGCGUGGACGACCCGUGGCGGCCGUACGUCGACGGCGACCCCGCCUGUCAGCCCCGACGCCUUCACUUGGACGCCACGACGCCACCCCGUGCCUCAGACGCGACAUCCACUCCACCAGAGCCUCCCAUUUCGCUCCGCCAACGCCUCGGUGAGCUCCGCCGCGUCUCGGUGAGCUUUUCCGGCCGCUCCACCGCGCCUCCGGCCAAACCAGCCCGCCAAAGCUUCCUCUACCUCGGCGUCACCUCUUUGGCCACUGUCGAGCACAGGUGAGGCGGCAUUGCCGAGCUCCGAGCCGUUCUUCCUCGCCGGAGUUCCGCCCUAGCUCACUGGCGACGUGGCCAGGCUUGUCUGCUCCACCAUUUCUCUCCAUUCUUGUUCCUAUCGCUUUCCCUUUGCUCACUGAUGCUCGGCGUGAAGCUCUACCGCGUCGCCAUUGCCUAGAUCCGCCGGCGCAACGCCGCGCAGCACCGCCGCUCCGCCAUUCCCGAUGGCGAACACCCUAGGGUCCAGUAGAGCGCGGGUAAAGUAGGUUAACAGAGUCGCCUUGAUGAGAGGAACACGUAGAUGCCCUUGGAUCCAACCGAGACCUCGCCGUCGUCGAGUUUCGCCGGCGACGAGCGUCUCCCCUGUGACCCACGUGUCAGUCUCUCCCUCUCACAUCCCUGGUCACUGUGUAGCAGAUUAUUUGCUGUUUUUGUAAAAUUCAUAUCUCGAGUUUUAUAGAUCCAAAUAACAUGGUUCCAAUUUUGCUAAGUUCUGGUAGUAAUCUAGUUGUUAAUAAAAAUAUGAAACAUACCAUGUUUUUGUGGAAAUAAAUAGAUAUAAUUUAAUCUUGGUUUAUUAGGAGGUAAUUAUAUCUUGAGAUCUGUUGAUCUGUUGGCCAUGCAAAUUUAGGGUGUUGUUACUAAUGAUAUGAAUAUGCUCUGAUAAAUUUAUCAUGAUUUUUGGAUGCCUGAUUGUGAAGUUAUAAAUAUUUCUUGUUCAAAUAGGAGUUUCUUGUGGUAUUUUUAAUAAAUAAAUUAUGAAUCCUUUGGUGGUGAAACUUGCUGAGUGUAGUACACAUGGGUAGACAAAGCUAGGAAAAAUCUGAAAUCUGUUGUUUGACACUUUUUGAUAGGGUUUCACAUUUAUGCCUUGCAUGCCUUGGCUAGCUUGUUAUUUUUGUAUCUCACAAGCUAGAUGUGCAAAUGCCCUGGGAAUUUUACAGUAUCCUUGUGUUAGCAUAAGUAGCUUGCUGUAAUUUUCUUAGGAAUUUCGGAGAAUUUGGAAUGCAUGUUCAUUAAAUCACCUUAAUAAUUAAAUAAAUGAAAAAGGUGAUGAUAGAAGUGAGUUUAGAUCUUGCCAUGAUGUUUUCUAGUGUUUCUUAGACAUGUUUUAUCUACUGGUGCAUUUGGAUUAACCCUUUGAUACAUUCUUGUUAUGUGCAAAAUAUUAUUUUUGCUAUUUAUGCCUUUCCUAGAGCAAUUCUGGGUAGCUGAUAGCAAUUGCUUAAGAGCUAUUUGAAGAUUAUGUUUUCUGGGAAACUUGUCUACAACAAACUUGUAGCUAACUUGCUUAUCUACUUCGUGUCCAAGUUUCAUGACAUCUGGUUGAGUAGUUUAAAAGUUAUGAAUGUUACAAGUAGCUGCUGCAAAGUGCUCGCUCUCUGGAUUUUCCAGGACAACCAGCCAACUUUGUAUGUUUUAGCUUAUUUAGGUUGGGAAUCAUUCUGGGACGUCUAAAAAGGAAUUGUAGAUAAUUUGCUAAGCUUUCCAGAAAGUAUUUACUUGCUUAGUUUGGCCAACUGAUGCUCGAGUUAUAGCUGAAACUUGUAACAAGUUGGUUUGUCUUUGAAACCAGUGACUGAGUAGGAGUAGCUAGGAUUGUUUAACUUGUCUAGUUAGCCUCUCUACCAGAGAAGAAGUAUGCACUUACUUUUUAUUACAUGAUUCACUUAAUCUUAGGAGUUAUGCUCAUGUUAUACCUUGUUUAUGCUGCUUUGGCUCUUCGUCGUGACAUCAUGCAUCAUAUGUGCAUUCUCUAUAUUUAUCUCCUUGUCAUGCAUACAUAGGUGUACCCAAGGGCGUGACCGUUUUGGAGUUCGAGCUGCCGGAACCGGAAGGACAGCAAGAAGAGCUACCUCAAGGAGCUGAGGAGGAGGACUUGCCGGAGUGCCCUGACCACCGUCCCUCUACUUACGUUGAAGGCAAGCCCCGUAGCAUUAUCAGCCUCCUACUAUUUUGUUAUCAUGUUCAGCUAUCAAUUGACUAUGGUUAUGUAUUGUUGCAUUAAGUGUUAGGCGUUGAUAUGACACCCUUGCUGCGUAAUGACUACCUUGUCCACCUCAUACCUUACCUGAGUAGGUCCAGGAUCGAAAUGAUGCUUAGCCAUGCUUAGCUCGGUAGAAGCCGGGUGAUUUCCUGUCACCUGCGAGAGAUAGGUGGAUGCUGAUCACGGUUGGCUAUAUUUGCUAUCGUGGAAAUAACCAUGUGCUAAUAAUGAACAUGAGACCGGGCGGGAUGACGAUAGUGCAGCAACAAGGCAUGGAGGUCUUGGGUAUGAAUCUAUCCCCGUCUGUGUCGAUUAAGGACUGAUUGAUGUAACGUCCUCGUGUCAUGUUGAACGCAUGCCUAACACUUAGCUGGCCGGAUAAGUCGUUCCGACCGCGAAGCCUACGAGUGCAACUCAGGUCGGAUACCCCGUUCUGUAUGAGUGCGCACCCCGGUUGGUAGUAUGUAUGUGCAGGGAGUCAAUGGCGUAAGUCCGAGGUGUCAGGUUAGAGUCCUGACCCUGGCAGAUUGGCGGUCCCUGUUGGUGCGGCGCUGGACGUACCCACGAAUUGGUCCGGAGUUGUGCUAAAGGUGAUCCGAGCUGCCCUCAUGAAGUAUGCUUGGGUGAGUGCUAGGAAUACUGUGGCAGAACCUCCUAAGUGUUUGGGCCCACCGACACCUGUCAUUGUCCUAAGGACCUCUGACGGUGAUGCCGGGGAUCCUCCCACUCUAGAAGUCCGAUGAGCAACUCAGGACGCUCAUUCCACCGCUACCUGUGGCGUAUCAAGCAGGCUCGUCCUGACCACUAGCGAUGGUCAAUUAACGAGAACUUCUUCUUCUCGCCCUUCAAGGAUAGCAAGUGGCCACCUUAACACCAGGAUCAUUCGUUGCGAAGACAUUGCGGUAUCACAAACGACAUAAGACCAAAAUAAUAUUUUAGAGUAAAACAGCGGAAGCAUUACAUAACUUAAUUUACAAAAGUAGUUCUUCCAAAUAGUAGAGUGUUAUUACAAGCCAUGUCCAGCGGAGCAACUUAAACUUUAGUACACAGAUUACAAAUUUAUAGACCCUGCCCAUGGGUCACGCUCACUCUUCUUCGUCGUCAAUCUCGACGACGGUCACACAACAGGGUCCGAAACAUGUCGGCUCCUGAGUACGGGAGUACUCAACAAGACUUACCCAGCGGAAAAAGAGGAGAAAAUUAGGGAUGCAGGCUUAGGGUAGACAAGGAGUGGUUGAGCAAGGAGCCAAAUUGUUUUGCCAAAAAGCUUACUAAUAGUGCAUCCUUACUUUCAAGUUUUACCCGCGAAUUCCUCUCCUUAAGAGGUCGAGGAGUUCGAGGACAGUCUAUCUAGUUGCUUCUCACAGACAAGUCUGUGAGUUCCUAGUCCUUAAUCAAAGUAUUUUCUAUCCAACGGCCAUAGCUUCAUGUCACUCUGAGUCCGGGAAUUGGGAUCCGAACCUCAUGAGACAUUUCCCCCUUUCUCAUUUUAUCACUUAGUUGCAUAUUUACUACGAUGAGGGUCGAAGGAAUUGAGUCUCCCAAUCGGAGAGCAACGACGAUUUGAAUCGCUUAGCAAUCCAGCUGGAGUUCCUAACCACCCGACAUAUGUAGAACCAAAUCUUGCAUAUGUCAACCCAAGUCUAGUUCUCCCCAAAUUUGACCAGGUUCGCGACACCCGAGAGCACAGUACCCCACCAUCCUAUAGCCGAUCUAGAUGUUUCCUGGUCAUCUCAGAUCCGUAAGGUGGGUACACGCUACUCUCGCCAUCGCUCCACGCCCAGUGCGCGAGUAGCUGUUCGCGUCGAGGGAUCACAAGACCGGGCUUACCGAGGGCAAGUGGCUAGUACUAUAAAUUCUCAACCCAGCAAGCCAUCAACGGACCGGUGCUUAACCGACACAGUUGGAGACACUACUUUAAGACUCUAUUCUUAAAGCAAGUCCACCGACCGGUCUCAAGUUGAAACAUCAUUGACCAUAAGUGUAUCCCACAACAACCCUUCAAACUUUCUUAUUUGAAAACCUGUCUAGUAGCAGGGCUAAGCAUCACUACGCAAUUUUAAAAUAAAACAGGUGCCAAGGACAAGAUAACAAAUAUCAAGGUAGUAAAUGCAAAUAAUAGGUUACCCAAAUUCUCAACUACCUAAUGCAGCAUUUUUAAUCCACAAGUGAUAAAAGAUUUAAAACAUUCAAGGAGGGGUUAAUGCAUCCGGGGCUUGUCUUGGUUGCAGAGCUAAGAGGGACCCUCGGAGACUUCCCAAGCCUCGGAUCCAACUUCCUCGAACGGAGCACCGACCUCGGGGUUCGGUUCAACGGUCGCUCCUUCGGUCACGUGCACUAUACGCAAAAUGAUGGAUGCUCAUGAUAUGCGUAUGACAAAUAUUUAAGAAGGACCGAGUUAAGUACAACUGGCCUUCUCGGUGCAACACAGACUAAACAAUAAUUAAAGUUGUUUACCAUUUUAGUGUUUUUACCCAAGAGGUUGCAUCAGUAAAUUAAGAUUUCUCUUAUUUCAUAAUUAUCUUUAAUUAACUAAUUAUUAAUCCUUUUAAUCUUAAUUAAUUCUUAAUUAAGUAUUAAUGACAGUAAUUAAACAUUAAUGCCAAACAAUAAUUAAAUGCCAAAGGUCAUUAAGGUUAAUGACCUCAGGUCAUCACACAAUCCCAAAAUCACUCAAACCCUAAUUUUGAGAAUUUAAACUAAUUAUCAUCUAAUUAUUCUAGAAUUAUUAUUUAAUUACUAAUUAAGGGUUUAAUGAUAUUUUAUUCCAACAUUAUCCAAAUACCACCAAAUUUUGUGUGAAGCCAGGGAAUAAUAUUAAGAGGCAUCCCACAAAUUUUGGUGAUUUUUGGACAUAUAAUUAAAUUAUUAAAAUUCAGGGAAGUUUUAUUUAUUAAUUAAAAGAGGCAAUUUUUAUAUACAUGCAAACUACCAGAAAAUAAAAUCUAAUAUUUUUCCUAUGUUCCACUCAUUAUAUGGAACCUAUACAGAAAUUUCCAUGAUUUUUGAAUCAGUAUACAACCUCCUACACAAAAUCAAAUAUAAAACAAAUUUUGCAUAAAAAGAAAAAGGAAAACAACACUAUGCUGCGAGCGGCCCAGGAACUCGGCCCGCAGGCCGGCCCGUUCGCGCUCGGCCCACGCGCGCUGUGCGCGCACCCUACCCUCUCGCGUGGUCACUGACGGGCGGGACCCGCCCGUUAGCUGCUUCUCUUACCUCCCGCCACGGCACCGGCGAGCUCAAGCUCAUCGCCGGUGAGCUCCCGGCCUCCGCGAUAGGGCAGGCCAGCACUCUCAGCCACCUACGCACCUCUUGCGGUGCUCGGACCACGCGCUACCCACCUCAAUCCCCCCUUGCUCGCGUCCACGGCGGACGGCGGCACUAACCGCGCGAGCACUGUUGAUAUUUGGGAACGCAAUAAGGAAUUGAUCCGCAAGCGCACGGAUAUCGGUGAGCACUUCACCCGGGAGGUUAUCCAGAGUAUCGUAUUUAUUUUUUUACCACUAGGAGAAAGAGUGCAUCUGACUAACCGGUCUAUUACUACUAACCUUUAGGCACAAAGAAUGUCUUUCGAUGUGAGUGAUAAAUAGAGAAGACUGCAACCGUAGUCUCCUUCUAACCUUGGUAAGGAUGAUCUACUGUUCUAAUGGGGAGGCUAACGGAAUCUAGACACCACAAAGGAUGUUCAACCCGCACCUAUAAACCCUAUCCUUCCUGCUAACGAGAUGUGAUUUGCAAAGGUAAUUCGGAAUUGUCACGUUCCUCACUACUACCACGGUCCAGCUAGUCAGGGAAUAUCUAUGAGUACCCCAGCCUAAACACCAUGUUUACGCCAGCAAUGAUUACUCUAAACUCUACACGAAGAGAUUAAAGUAAACUCAUAAACCAUAAGAAGAAUAAAACAAGAACUUACUAGAAUUUAGAAGUCGAAUUACUGAAGAAUCCUAGGAGCAAGCUUCGGGUUAGGAGAACUUGAUCCCGCAGGUACAAGCUUGGAGUAGACACCGACAGGCCGGGCUUCCUCCAAUCUACACCUCCACUCUAUCUCUCUCAAUCUAGUAGAAACUAGAAGAUCUAUUUCUACCUUACAUUGGUUGCUAAGCCUAAAAAGAAAUAUUAAUUAGAGAAGAGGUUUUCCUUCGAGGGCACCCCUCAGUCUCUAUGAUAAUUUCUUCAUGUCUUCUCCAGGGGCCAGGGGGUCUCCUUAUAUAGUCCUCCCCUUCUAUGCGUUUUUGGGUCGAUAAGCGAGGUGGUAAUAUGUUUUUUCUUGAUCCAAUAGGUCGGUGGAAUAUCCCGAGCGAAGAGAGUCCUGAUCUGGCUCCAGCAGGGGGCGGGCGCCCAGGUCCUCAGGGCGGGCACCUUGGGCCUGGCCCCGUUUCGCCUCCGCUUCUGUCUCGUGGCUUCUGGAGUCUUCUAGAUGGUAGAAAAUUGCGCGGUGCGUUGAUAUCUCUAUGUAAUCCCGACAUGUGGGCCUUUCUUCCUUAUUUCCUGAUAACCCCCUGCAGAAACAGAUAAACAACAAAACUCGUGGAAUUCUGUCAGAUCAAACCCUAAUUCUAGGUGUUGGUUGCAUAUUGGUCCUUUCUUUUGUUUAUUUGAUAAUUAAAAUUGAUACUUAAGAACCGUCAACAAAUACCCCCAUACUUAGGCUUUUACUCGUCCUCGAGAAAAGGAUGGUUAAGAAAAAUAUUUGGGGUAAACAUUUUAAAGCAUUCUCUAUAACAUUGCAGGGUGUUAAAAAUUCCACUGUGUACCAUAGUCAGGGAAGUAUAUGGUUAAAAGUAAAGAUCCUUUCUUCUCGAUCCUGUCACUUGGAGUUUUUGUAUAUUUUUGAAAGAAAGUUAACAUACCCUUUUGAUCCUCAUAGGUUCUCUCAGAUCACUCAUUAUCUUUUAUAUAUCUCACUGAGGUUGUUUUAUCUUUUUUGCAAAAAUUCUCAAGCAUACUUACUUUGCAUUUAUUGCCUGAUCAAAACGGGAUCCGAGGAGGGGAAUGUCAUACUCUUAGAUCAAAGACUUUGGAAAUUAAAAUCUUUGUCAACUCUUGCUGGCAUAUUGCUUAUUAGAGGGACCAUGGGCUAUCAUUUUUUUUACUAGAAUUUAAGUGGAUACCGAGGUACCCCUAAUUCUACUGUCGGACACUUGUCCAUUUUUCUACGAGGUUGUCGAGCACUUGCUCCUUUUUAUUUCCUCGAAAUAUUUUUAUUUUUGCAUAGCCCAUGCCUCUAAUGCAAUAAUACUUCGGAAGAGUGAAUCUUUCUGAAAUAAUGUCUUGAUCUUGGGAACAUGAUAAAUCUCUCAACAAGGGUCUAACUCAUUUUGAACAAACUCAAUACAGAGCAGAUGGCUUUUAUAAUCAUAGUUAAUAUUUUUUUUUCUGUUUUAUCAGGCAUAUAAAACACUGAGGAUGGUAGCUAGAAUUUUGAAUAUUUUGAAAUAAAUUCUCCAAGCAACAAUGAUAUCAAGAAUAAGAAACUCAUACUCUACCAUCACAUAUUCCAUAUUGACUUAAGUAACACAGGGUUUUAAAAUGAUUUUAUAAUAAUUGCAAAUUUUCAGGAAAUAUCAUAGAUUGAGAUUAAUCAUGAUUAGAAAUAUUUUAAUUUAUUUUAUCAUGUCGGAAACAAUAUUCUGCAUAAUCCAAAAUAUAUGUAUGUGUAAAGUAAAGUGUGUAGAGUGUGUACCUGAAUCGUGGAGUGGUGUAGUUGGAGUGUGUUUGGCAUAUUGAGGGAUCUCCCCCAUACUUGUUUUCUGCUUUCUUGCACAAAAAUAAAGUAGAGACACACAAGACAUAAUAAUAAUAAUAAUAAUACUCUUUAUUGAUCUUGAGGCAUUUAUUACAAAAGACUGAUAGCAAACUGAUAGCAAACUGAUAAUAGCAAACUGAUGAUAAUAGCAAACUUAAACCGAAUUUAAAGAUAGAUGACUAAGAUGCAUUGCCUCAAGGUCUAAUCUAGAUAACUUAGCGGCGCUCUAAUUCCUUGAUCUUAUUGUUGGCACUAGCAAGAUCCUGCCUAAGGCCUAGUAUAAUAGUGUUGUGGUUAGAGAGCUGCCUAGUGAGGGAGUUAAUCGAGGACUGGAGGUCUAUGAUAAUUCUAUCUAGCCUGUGAACUUCCUCAUCAAUAUCCAUUAUAGUCUUGCGACGCUUGGGAGGUGUCUCAAAAGCAUUGAGAGAGUGCUUCGGGGCUGCCUUUGGAGGGAUGAAAUGGACUUUGGCUGCUCUAAUCCCUUCAAAGUAAGGCCUUUCCUCCUCUGUAGUGUAGCGAAUACUGCUGAUCUCACCGCUCCGGUUGGUCUUGACUCCAACGACCCUCUCAUUGGGUCUAGGUGGAAGGAUCCUUGUGCCGAUUGGCACCUUGAUAGUGGUCUUCGUCUUGGAUGAUGAUCCUUUGAGGAGUAGGUGUUGUGGCGGUGCGGUGAGAACUGGUUGAGCAUGGUAAGAUUGGGCGGAGCUGCGUUGGCGUAAUGGCAUGGCUUCUAGCUGUCGCUCUGUGUUGGCCGGGACGAGAGCACGGGCAUCGGGGUCUUCCACAGGCUCCAUGUUGAGGUUGAAGGGGAUGACUUCCCAAUCAUCGUGGUACUUCUCGGCCAUUGGAGCAGCAAGGAACUAAUAAAACUUUAAUUGAAGUAGAGCUAAUCAAGCUCUAAUUAAAGGGGAGAAGGCUUGGUGGCUUGGUGUUUGAAAACUAAGGUCAGGGGUCUGUUUAUAUAGGGGUCAAAAGGGUGCCUCUAUGGGUUGUUCGGGUUGCUCCCGUCGACGUGCGUGUGAAACUUUCCAUCCGAGGGAUUAUUCGGAUCACCCUAAGUGCAUUUUCCAUAACAGAGAAAGUCGGGACCGAGGGGGAACAGGGGCUGGGCGCCCGCCCUCUCUCUGGCCCCUCUGUGGGCCCACUUCUCCGAGCGCGUUUCUAGAUGCGAAAUUAUUUAGAAAAAUAUAUAUAUGACCCAGAACCAUCAGACCAAAAGUGUCGGGCUCUAAUUCUCUAUGGGAAGGUAAAAAUGGACUACGUCUAUUUCUUCAAAUUCCUCAUUGGGCUCUAAAAAUAAUUUAAGACGUUGACCAUUUACCUUGAAUAACGUACCUUCGUCAUUUUGAAGUGUGAUAGCUCCGUGGGAUGAUGAAUUAAUUACCUUGAAUGGUCCUUCCCAUUUGCUCCAGAGUUUUCCAUGCCCGAAAAGCUUCACCCUAGAAUUAAAAAGUAAUACCUUAUCUCCGGGUGUGAACUCCUUCUUCUUGAUUCUCUUGUCAUGCCACCUUUUGACUCUUUCUUUGUAGAUCUUUGAAUUGUGAUAUGCCUUCUCUCGCCAUUCUUCCAAUUCUGAUAGUUGCAUUCUUCUAUAAUCUCCAGCAACAUCUAGGUCCAUAUUCCAUCUCUUUAUGGCCCAGUGUGCUUUGAACUCUAGUUCAACAGGCAGAUGGCAAGUCUUCCCGUACACCAAUUGGUAUGGAGACAUUCCAAUUGGGGUCUUGUAUGCUGUCCGGUAUGCCCAGAGUGCAUCGGGUAACUUGUCUUUCCACGCUGUUCCCAUUUCAUUUACUGUCUUCUGAAGAAUAUUCUUGAUUUGUUUGUUGGAAGUCUUUGCUUGGCCACUUGUCUGAGGAUGAUAGGGGGUAGCGACGUUAUGACAGAUUCCAUGUCUUGAUAGAUAUUGCUUGAAGCGUAUGUCGAUGAAGUGUGCUCCUCCAUCACUUAUCACUACUCUGGGGACUCCAAAUCUUGGAAAUAUAAUUUCUUCAAACAUCCUCUUUGAACUGACGUUGUCGGCAUGCUUGCAAGGUAAUGCCUCUACCCACUUGGAGACAUAGUCAACCGCCACCAAGAUGUACUCGCACUUCUUUGAUGGAGGAAAUGGGCCCAUGUCGUCUAUUCCCCAAACAUCAAAGAGCUCAAUCUGAAGGUUGUUGGUGAGUGGCAUUGCAUCCCUUGUAUUUAUGUUUCCGUGCCUUUGACAUGGCCCACAUCUUCUCAUAUAUUGCUUCAUGUCUUCAUACAUUGUAGGCCAAUAGAAUCCACACUACCAGAUCUUUGAAUGUGUACGGAAUGCUCCAUAGUGACCUCCAUAUGGUGAUGAAUGACAUCUGUUGAUGAUCUUCCAUCCUUCCUCAGUGGUCACACAUCUCCUGAGUAAGCCAUCAGAGCACACUCGGAAGAGGUAUGGCUCAUCCCAUAUAUGUGAACGACUUUCAUGAAUAAGCUUCUUCUUAUUUGCUCCUGGUGGUACAUACCCUGAAACCAUAAAAUUAACAAUAUCUGCAUACCAGGGGUCAGACCUGUUAAUCCCGUAGAGCAUGUCGUCCCGGAGUGAAUCAUUGAUGGGGGUUUCCUGUGGACUCUUAAAAUACAUUCUAGACAAGUGAUCAGCAACAGAAUUUUCUACUCCUUUUUUAUCUUUUAUUUCUAAGUCAAAUUCUUGGAGUAAUAAAAUCCAUCUAAUCAGACGAGGUUUAGUAUCUUUUUUAGUGAGCAAAUAUUUUAAUGCAGCAUGAUCACUGUAAACAAUUAUUUUAGCUCCAACUAAAUAAGAUCUAAAUUUAUCUAUGGCAAAGACAACAGCCAGAAGCUCUUUUUCAGUGGUUGCAUAGUUAAGUUGAGCUCCUGUCAAAGUUUUACUGGCAUAAGCAAUUGCAUGAUGCUUCUUAUCUUUAGUUUGUCCCAAUACUGCCCCCACAGCAUAAUCACUAGCAUCACACAUAAUUUCAAAAGGCAACGACCAAUCAGGGGGUUGAAUGAUUGGUGCAGAGAUGAGUGCUUUCUUUAAUAAAUUGAAAGAUGUUAAACAUGCAUCAUCAAACUCGAAAGGAGCAUCCUUGGCUAGCAAAAGAGUAAGUGGUCUAGCAAUAAAUGAAAAAUCUUUUAUGAAUCUACGAUAAAAACCAGCAUGGCCAAGAAAGCUUCGAAUUCCUUUUAUGUUCACAGGUGGAGGUAGUUGUUCAAUUACUUCAAUUUUAGCUUUGUCUACCUCAAUACCUCUUUCAGACACUAAGUGUCCCAGCACUAUUCCUUCCCUAACCAUAAAAUGACAUUUUUCCCAAUUAAGGAUUAAGUGCUUUUCUUCACAUCUUUGCAAAACCUUAUCUAAGUUUUCAAGACAACUAUCAAAAGUUUUUCCAUAAACAGAGAAAUCAUCCAUGAAAACUUCCAUAAUCUCUUCAAUCAUAUCAGAAAAUAUAGACAUCAUGCAUCUUUGAAAAGAAGCUGGUGCAUUACAUAACCCAAAAGACAUUCUACGAUAAGCAUAAGUUCCAUAUGGGCAUGUAAAAGUGGUUUUGCUUUGAUCAUCGGGAUGGAUCGGGAUUUGAUGAUACCAUGAAUAUCCAUCUAAGAAACAAAAGAAUGAAUGAUUUGCUAACCACUCUAGCAUCUCAUCUAUAAAAGGUAAAGGAAAGUGAUCCUUUCUCGUGGCUUUGUUUAGUUUUCUAUAGUCUAUGCACAUCCGCCAUCCUGUGACGGUGCGUUGCGGAAUUAGCUCGUUCUUUUCAUUCAUAAUAACUGUCAUGCCUCCCUUUUUGGGCACAACUUGUACUAGGCUCACCCACUCACUGUGCGGCACAGGAUAUAUAAUCCCUGCAUGCAGCAACUUUAUGACUUCCUUUUUAACUACCUCUCUCAUAGUGUUGUUAAGUCUACGUUGGGGUCCUCGAGAGGGUGUAACAGAAGGAUCUGUUGGAAUACGAUGGGUACAAAUCAUAGGACUGAUUCCUGUAAGAUCUUGAAGUGAGUAGCCAAAAACUGAGUGAUGUUUUUCAAGAAUGGUCAUUAAUCGCAGAGUUUGAUCCUGAGUGAGUUUAUCGCUAAUGAUUACAGGGAACUCUGGAUUAUUGUUUAGGAAAGCAUAGGUAAGACCGGGCGGUAAAGUUCUAAGCUCUAUGGGGGGUCUAGGUGUUUCUGCAAACUCAUCUAAGGGUUCAGGCUCAGAAGGUUCGUCUUCUUCUUCUGUGAAGAAAGGAGUUUCGUCUUCUAAGUCUGGUUCAUCUAAAAGCUCUAGAGAUGCAGCCUUUACUUCCUCCAUAGGAUCAGGCAAAAGAUAUGACUCGGCCUUAUUGUUUAAGGAGUGUGAAAUUGUUAUUGGGAAUUUAAAAGUUUUUCCAAAAGAAAUGUGUAGCUUUCCAGUAUGACCUUCAUAAAGGAGUCUUCUAAAAGGUUGUCCUAUUAACAGGUCGAAGUCCCAUGUAUCAAAGAUAUAGAAGUUCAAAUGAACCAUGGAGCCUUCUACCGUAAGAGGUAGGACAUUAAUAAUUCCAAGACUGGGGACUAAUCGUCCCGAAGAUUCCUUUAUGACCUUUGUUGUGGGGGUUAAGAAAAUAUUUUUAAAUAGUUUAAGUGCAAAAGAUUCAGACAUGAUGUGGAUCCCCACAACAGGAUUAUAAAGAGCAUUAAAUCGAUCAGAAUUAUAAGCACAUCGUAUAGUUAUAGAGGGUGUGUUCAAACGGAUCACAUCAGAGGAAAUCUCUGAUUCCUCCAACCAUUCGCUACUCAUUACUAAGAUAAGCUCUCUCAAUUGAUAUUCACUUGGCAAAUAAAUGCUAAACUGGCCGUUUUGGGGUUUGUCAAUAGAAUGGUAGUUUGAUAUAUUUCCAAAAUCGACAAAAAGAUCGGAUUCUAUAUCCAGCAUGAAGUCCGGUAGUGGAAUUUCUUCCUCUUGUGGCUCAGAACUUGGGAUAGCUAAAGUAGAUAAAGAAUUUGGCAGAGUGUCUACUUCGGCUUCGUAGGUUUCAUCAUGAAGGGUAUUAUCCAUCUCAGCUUCUAGGAUUCUAUCUAGGAUCACUCUAGCUUCAUCAGCAGGGAUGCGAAAGAAAGAACCUCUAGACAUUGUGUGAAGCAUUUGUUUGUGAUUUUUAUGAAGACCUCGAAAAAAGUGAAAUAGAAGAACAGGGUCUUCAAGAUUAAGGUUUGGACCAGAUUCUAAAAGGUCAGAAAAACGUUUCCAGGAUUUUCCCAAAGUUUCAUUAUCUUUUUGUUUAAAAGAUAGGACUUCAAGUCUAAGGUCGGCUAUACGGUCAAGGGAAUAGAAAUCUAGACAAAAGUUAGCUCGUAAAACUCCCCAUUCACCUUGUUGUUGACUUACCUUCUGACUGUACCAUUGUCUAGCUUCUCCCCUUAAAGAAAAAGGAAAAAGCUUCCAACGUAAAGUCUUAUCAGAAAUGCCUUCAAUGCGAAGACAAUCACAUGUUUGCUCAAAAUCUCUAAUAUGAAGGUAAGGGUUUUCGUCUUCCUUUCCCGAAAAAGAUAGGUUUUGAAUCAUGGCAAUCAGCCUAGAACUUAACUUAUACUGGGAUGUUUGGAUAGGCUGUGAUGAUUCCCAUGGUAAAAGGUCAGUUGCUAAAGGGAUUGCAGACUCAUGGAUCGAUUUAGAAUUUUGGUUUUCCAUAAGGUAAGAGUAAAGAAAAUAAAUAAAGAAUAUAAAAGAUAAGAAAAGAUAAAAGUAUAGAUACAAGCUAGUAGUAAGACUCAGGUUAUCUCAGCAACCGUCUUUCUCCCCGGCAACGGCGCCAGAAAUGCUUGUUGAUAUUUCGGAACGCAAUAUGGAAUUGAUCCGCAAGCGCACGGAUAUCGGUGAGCCCUUCACCCGGGAGGUUAUCCAGAGUAUCGUAUUUAUUUUUUUACCACUAGGAGAAAGAGUGCAUCUGACUAACCGGUCUAUUACUACUAACCUUUAGGCACAAAGAAUGUCUUUCGAUGUGAGUGAUAAAUAGAGAAGACUGCAACCGUAGUCUCCUUCUAACCUUGGUAAGGAUGAUCUACUGUUCUAAUGGGGAGGCUAACGGAAUCUAGACACCACAAAGGAUGUUCAACCCGCACCUAUAAACCCUAUCCUUCCUGCUAACGAGAUGUGAUCUGCAAAGGUAAUUCGGAAUUGUCACGUUCCUCACUACUACCACGGUCUAGCUAGUCAGGGAAUAUCUAUGAGUACCCCAGCCUAAACACCACGUUUACGCCAGCAAUGAUUACUCUAAACUCUACGCGAAGAGAUUAAAGUAAACUCAUAAACCAUAAGAACAAUAAAACAAGAACUUACUAGAAUUUAGAAGUCGAAUUACUAAAGAAUCCUAGGAGCAAGCUUCGGGUUAGGAGAACUUGAUCCCGCAGGUACAAGCUUGGAGUAGACACCGACAGGCCGGGCUUCCUCCAAUCUACACCUCCACUCUAUCUCUCUCAAUCUAGUAGAAACUAGAAGAUCUAUUUCUACCUUACAUUGGUUGCUAAGCCUAAAAAGAAAUAUUAAUUAGAGAAGAGGUUUUCCUUCGAGGGCAACCCUCAGUCUCUAUGAUAAUUUCUUCAUGUCUUCUCCAGGGGCCAGGGGGGUCUCCUUAUAUAGUCCUCCCCAUCUAUGCGUUUUUGGGUCGAUAAGCGAGGUGGUACUAUGUUUUUUCUUGAUCCAAUAGGUCGGUCGAAUAUCCCGAGCGAAGAGAGUCCUGAUCUGGCUCCAGCUGGGGGCGGGCGCCCAGGUCCUCAGGGCGGGCGCCCUGGGCCUGGCCCCGUUUCGCCUCCGCUUCGGUCUCGUGGCUUCUGGAGUCUUCUAGAUGGUAGAAAAUUGCGCGGUGCGUUGAUAUCUCUAUGUAAUCCCGACAUGUGGGCCUUUCUUCCUUAUUUCCUGAUAACCCCCUGCAGAAACAGAUAAACAACAAAACUUGUGGAAUUCUGUCAGAUCAAACUCUAAUUCUAGGUGUUGGUUGCAUAUUGGUCCUUUCUUUUGUUUAUUUGAUAAUUAAAAUUGAUACUUAAGAACCAUCAACAAGCACCAGCCUCCACAAGUGAUUAGAACGCAGACCAACCAGCGCAUAAGCCUCAGGGGCUCACCAUGACUUCAACAAAGCAAAGAGCAGCAGUGGAGAAGCUUGGAGAAGAGCUGGCCGCGGUGAGGCACCCACGGCGGCGAUUUCGGCCGUAAUCGGAGGGAAACAGCUCGGUUGCGGGCUAGGACAGGUUAGAGCUUGCGCUCGGGGGCGCAAACGGUUGCGGGGUUCUUGGCGGAGCUGCUGGGGGAUCUCUGGUGGCUUGAAAGGGAGCAAGGGAGGCGAAUUUUGCAGGCGCCGCAAGGUCGUCGGUGUUGAGCAGAAAGGGGAAAAACGAGGUGGCCGUGCAGUGUGGUCACUGAGGGGAGAGGAUGAGCACGCCAGGGGCUCGUCCACUUCUUGGCGGGCGGCGGGCUCGCGCAGCCAAGCAGCUGCGUGGCUAGUCGCGUGGCGGCGCACGCGAAGGCGGCGCCUGCCCGCCCUGCGGCCGCGGUGGACAGAGCUCGUGAUCCUCAUCGGAUCACUGUAGCCGUCCCUAUCCCCUCCUUUCUGUCUUUUGCAAAAUUCAACUAAAAUUUGAACUAAAGUCAAAUUUUCACCAAAACCAAAGUUGUUCAGAAUUUUACAAGCUACAAAACAUGUUUGGCUGACCAAAGCCAAUUCUGAGUGGAAAAAGGUGAAUUUGACAAAACAGUUUGAAAUUCAAAUCUCAAUUUAGGGAAAUUCCAAUUUUGAAUUGGGGUAGAUGAGAAUUUCCAAAAUUACUUUUGAUUUUCCAUAACAACUUGAAAAAUUCCCAACAUGAAAAUUGUUCAAUUUUUUGAGCUCUACAAUUUGUUCAAUUUUUUGAGCUCUACAAUUUUCAUGUUGGUCACUUUCCAAAAUUCCAAAUAGAUUUUAAAAUGGGGAUUCAAAUUGGAAAAGGGGACACUUUUUGGAAAUCUGUAUUUUCAAAAUUACUAUGAAUUUUGUAUUGAAACUUCAAAAACUCAAAACACCAAAGUUGUACAUCUUGACAAGAUCUAUAACUUUGCUUUUGAACUCAUCCACAAAAUUUUGCUUAGUUUUUAAGUUACACAAAAGGGGGAAAUUCUAGGGUUCUAAAAUCACGGUUUUCCCCCCUCUAUUUUCUCGGAAACCUUCCACCCUAGGGAUUAUACAACCAACACAAGCAUCACUUCUCAACAUAAGCACACUUUAAUUCCCUAAGCACAUUCAACCAAAUUAAACUUGUUUUAACUUGAUGCAUAAUAAUGUGCUUAACUAAUAUGCGAUGCAAUGCUCAUGAUGACAUGAUCCAGUUUUAGUAACCGUAACAUCGGGGAUGUUACAAAUACCCCUCUAGCUGGAUAGGAAUCGAUUCGAAUCACCGUCUCUCCCGGAUAGUGAGAACUUGACACGGGCAGUCGCACGUAGAACUCACUAAAUAAACUUAAUGGUUAUGAUGAGAAUAUUGAUAGCUAAGUGAUAAUCCGGAUAUGGUUACUAUUGUGAUGCUUAAAUACUCAAGUGUGUGCUUAGAACAGGUGCUAACCUAGUGGAUAGUUGUUAAGUAAUAAACCUGCUGCUGGAAUAUUAUAAAUGGGUUACCUACAACAAAGGCUUUUUGUGCAAAAAGGUGAGUCAAACCAGCCCACAAAGAUCAGCCUUGCAUACUCCUUGGUGUCACUUAUUUCUGGUUUAUGACGGGUAAGUCUAGCUGAGUACAUUCUCGUACUCAGGGUUUUAUUUACCCAUGUUGCAGAUGAUGUCAUUUAUCACGGCUGCUGUGCUAACUGCCAUCAUCUGGCUACGGAUGAUGAAUAGAUUAUGGGCGUGAUCAUCUUCUUUAUCUUCAGUUGUGCUUUUGUUGGGUUGACCAUGGAACUGGCAUGUAAUUUAAACUGAGUGUGGGUGAUGUUUUAAAACUACUUUGUUUCCGCUACCAAACUGGUUUGUAAUGACCUUGUUUAAAACUCUGAUGUAAUGUAAACUUAUGUUCUAUGAUGAAAUGUAUGUAAUCUGUGAUGGCGAUGCUUGAUCAUGUACGAUCUUGGUUGUAUGUUGGUUGAAUCGGGGUCUUUUGAGAUUUCGUCGGACUACUGGGUUUAUAUGGGUUCAAGUCCAUUGGCUUGACUGCCUCCGUGGUCGCUAAUUUACUUGAAUUCUUAUAAACUGGAUGGUUCUGUUAUAGCUGGUAUCAGAGCAAGAUUAAGCAUUUAACCAUCACAGAUGUAUUUAAAAACAAAUGAAUUUGGUUUUCCCAAGCUAAUUUGGCAAUUUAGACUAUACAUAGGGCUGUUUUAAAAAUGUUUUAAUAACUUAAACCAUGCCAGUGGUCAUACCCUUUAUGCCCAUAUAAGGACUUCUAGGUGGCUUAAUAUUACUAACAUGGGGGUUUUUCCUUUCGUCGUCCAUAUGGCGUGUAAUAAUAUGGAUGCCACUUACUUAAGUGGUAAUGAAUGGAUCACAUACCUCUACGCCAUGGUAAGCAUUGUUUGUUUUCUUUCGUCGUCCAUACGAUGUGAAAUUGUAUGGAUGCCACUUGCUUGAGUGGUAAUGUAUGGAUCUAUAUGCCUCUACGCUAUGGUAAGCGUGAGCUGUGAGAGCAUGACCGUCCAACCAUCGGUCUAGGGGAGUGUUAGCUCUGGUUACUGGAAUAUUUACAUGUUUUACACAUGUAUAUAUGAAGGUACUUAAUUUUGGGUAGUAAGUGCAGUCAUGUAUACAUAUUUGAUGUAUACGUGGGUGUAUCCCAAAUGGGUAGUGUGCUGCGAUAUAUGUUCGGGAAUAUAUAUCAAAGUAUCUAGCUUUAUUGUUGAUGAUUGGAUUUACAUUUCUGCACAUAUACUAUUGUGGGGUUGGGCUAAAAUGGAAUUUUCUGCAGGUACACUAACAACGAAACGUGUAGACCGUGUAGUUGCGUAUAAAGAGUGCACGUAUGUAUGCCACCGACUAUACCGUUAGAACCUUAAUGGAAAGGAUGUAUGGAACGUGCAUGCAUCAUGAAUCAUUCAUACAUUCCUUAUGCACUACUUAAGUAUUAAAUUCUGAAAAUAUAUCUAUUUACCUUUCCUUGUAAUUGAUCUCCCUUACUCAAAUGUGGUCUUUCUACAGAUGGCAGCACCACACGCAAGUGAGACUUUCCUGGACAUGUUUGGCACUCCUACUUUGUUGUGGAGGGUGCUAAGUUCAGUUGGAUAUGAGGAACCACCUAAGUACACUUGGACCGAGUCUGAGCAUGCAGGAGCCUUACCUUGGGUAGAUGUCCAAAUUACAGUUCCCCCUUGUCCAAAUAACCCACAGUGGCUAGGUUGGAUAGUAGAGUGCGAUGGCCAAACUCCUUGGGAGGGUGCCCAAGUAGCAGCCUUAGAAGUAUUGCUGGAGAUAUGCCAAGAUUAUGGUGAUGAGCUAGUGAAUGGCCCAGCUGGAUCCAUCCCUAGAGUGAGUGUGACCGACACAUUUGUGUCUCAGAUAGGAAAUGAGCCUUUAGAGAUGAGAGAAACCAUGCUAGGAUAUAGCUCUAGCCCUACCAUGAGUGCCAUGCUGGCGGUACUUAAGCUGUACUAUGUACGCCACACCUACAUAGACGCCAUGCUAGCGCUCCAACAAGCUCAAGUUGGGCAGCGCAAACUGCGCAAGCGCGUGCGCAAGCACCGCAAGGCUUUUAGGGAUGCACAAGCUGAAAUCAAAAACUAUCACACCGCUUUGCAAGCCCGCCGCAACCAAGUUGAGAACGCAGUUAGAGAGCGCAAUGAGGCACAAGCCCGCAUGAUGCAAAUGACUAGAGAUAGAUGAGGCUAUGCGCCUGGCUGAAAAUAGAGAAGCUGCUAGAGUUAGAGCCUUGUUCCAUGCUGAGAUGUGAGAGGAAGAGCUGAUCACUAGAAUUGCUGAGCUACACUUAGAUGUCCAUCGCCUAAAUAAUAUCAUAAAUCCUAGCCCACAUCCUGUCCCCUUUAAUCAUGAAGAAGCUCCUAGUGAGGAAGAUCAGGAUGAUGGCAUCAUUUCUAAUGGAGAAUCUGAGGAAGAUAUGUAGCCUAGCAAUGAUUCCAUGCUCAUGUAUCAGUUUCCAUCUCUUUAUGUAAUGGACAUAUAAUCUAAAUUUCAGCUAAGACUCUAUGUAUUUGGCCAUGGUGCCCCUCCUGUAAGACUUAAGUUGUGGCAAUGACUCUAUGUAACCCUAUGCACUUAUUUGUGAUGCUCCAUGUUUAUGUUGAGCUUAAAUAAUUUUCUGCAAUGUCUUUAAUCCUUGUGAAUUGUGGCUGUGAAUGAUCGUGAGAAUAACCAAGUGUCGUGGAUGAUAUUCUCUUGUUGUACAUGGAUUAUUGUGCCUUAAAUUAUGUGAAUUUACUUCAUUAAAUUCCGUAUGGCAGCAAUUGAGGUUCAUGGCAGUUAUAUCUGUUGUCCUAAACGGUCACUUGGUAUGCCUUGUGCAGAUGGCUCGCAAUACUCGCUCCGGUCACAAUGAGGUGCCGCCACCACCGCCUCCUCCCCCCCCUACGCCUACUGAGCUAUUGGCAGCUCUUGUUGAGGGCCAGCGCAUGCUCAAUGAGGCUAUACAGACUAUGGCGCAGCAAAACCGGAAUGGUCGCCAUGUCCGCCAAGGUGGAGAGGCAAAUCAGCCCAGCAGCUUCAAGGAUUUCCAAGACACGAAGCCGCCGCUUUUCAAGGAGGCUGUUGAACCUCUAGAAGCUGAUGAAUGGCUCAACACUCUCGAGCAGAAGUUCCGCUUGCUGAUGGUGACUGAAGAGUUAAAGGCGGAAUAUGCAACCCACCAGUUGGAGGGCAAAGCAGGUGUCUGGUGGAGUCAUUAUAGGACUAGCUUGCCUGCAAAUGCUGUUGUGACCUAGGAUCAGUUCAAAACUGCUUUUAGGAACACCUAUAUUCCCCAAGGCUUAAUGACUAUCAAGCACACGGAGUUCAUGAACCUGGCACAGGGCACUAGAAGCUUAACUGAGUAUCUUCAUGCUUUUAACAAUUUGUCUCGCUAUGCUCCUGAAAUGGUUGAUACUGAGGCCAAGAAGCUUGCUAGUUCCAAGAGAGGGUUGGGACCCAAGCUGUCCAAAAACAUGGCUGGUAACAAGAGUACCACCUUUAAUGAGUUUGUGAGUGAUGCGUUGACUCAAGAGAACUCCAACGCCGUGUAUGCCGCGUCCAAAAACCGCAAGAGGGCCUAUGAGGCAGGUGAUUCACAGUCUAAGGCUCCCGUGACAAAUAAGCCGGCCUAUCGCCCACCAAAUGCUGUGAUAAGGUAUAGGCCACCGCAUAAAAAGUCAAAUGUGAAGAUGGGAGUUCGCAAGUCCUUCACAGUUGCUCUCCCAAGAGGUGCCAUGGGUCAAGGAGGUCCCAAGACUCCCCCUAAUAACCGUCCCUGCUUCAAUUGCAAACAAGUUGGUCACUGGGCGAGAGAUUGCCCUUAUCCCAAGAGGAAUUCUGCAGCUGGAGGUAACAACCGUACUGGCCGAGUGCACUAUACCACCAUUGAAGAAAUCCCCGAAGGUGAAGUGGUCACGGCUGGUAUGUUCCUUGUAAAUCAACACCCUGCAGUUGUCUUGUUUGAUUCUGGAGCUUCGCAUUCAUUUAUGAGUCAAGCAUUCGCAUCUAAGCAUGGGCAACAUGUAAUUGACCUUGAUAGUGGAAAAUUUUGCAUUAGUGCUGCUGGUAAUCAGAUCUCUACAAAUCAAUUAGUGAGGGAUGUGCAUAUUGCCAUUGAAGGGCGUAGUUAUUCAGCAAAUCUUGUCAUCUUACCGGGCUUGGGAAUAGAUGUUAUCCUAUGAAUGAAAUGGAUGAGUGAUCAUGGAGUGUUAAUAGACACUUCAACUAGGGUAAUCAUGUUGAGGGAGCCUGAUAGUAAAGAAGCUUUCUUAGUUCAACUCCCUAGAAGCAACGACAUCCGUCACGCAGCUAAUGCUAUCAGACCACUCACUGUGGCAGAGAUUCCGGUAGUGUGUGAUUUCGGACGUCUUUCUAGAGGAUCUGCCCGGGUUGCCACCGGACAGAGACAUUGAAUUUAAAAUUGAUCUAAUUCCGGGUACUGCACCUAUCUCUAGAAGGCCAUAUCGAAUGCCACCCAAUGAAUUGGCAGAAUUGAAAAAGCAAUUGCAAGAACUUCUCGAGAAAGGUCUUAUUCGGCCUAGUUCUUCUCUAUGGGGUUGUCCGGCUCUCUUUGUUAAGAAGAAGGACAAGUCUCUACGUAUGUGUGUAGACUAUCGUCCGCUCAAUGCCGUGACUGUUAAAAACAAGUAUCCACUGCCUCGCAUUGAUAUCCUGUUUGAUCAAUUAGCCAAGGUCAAAGUAUUCUCCAAGAUUGAUCUAAGAUCUGGGUAUCAUCAAAUCAAGAUCCGACCCGAAGACAUUCCUAAAAUGGCUUUCUCUACCAGGUAUGGGUUGUAUGAGUAUCUAGUCAUGUCCUUUGGUCUGACUAAUGCCCCUGCUCAUUUCAUGUACCUAAUGAAUUCGGUGUUCAUGCCUGAACUGGAUAAGUUUGUGGUGGUGUUCAUCGAUGAUAUAUUGGUGUAUUCUGAAAAUGCACAAGAACAUGAGAAGCACCUUCGGAUUGUACUCACUAGAUUGCGAGAACAUCAGCUCUAUGCCAAGUUCAGCAAGUGUGACUCUUGGCUGAAGAAAGUGCCUUUUCUAGGCCAUAUUCUAUCCGAAGAAGGUAUUUCUGUUGACCCGUCAAAAGUGCAGGAGGUUCUAGACUGGAAGGCCCCGACUUCAGUGCACAAGGUCCAGAGUUUUCUUGGUCUAGCUAGAUAUUAUCGGCGCUUUAUUCUAGACUUCUCCAAAAUAGCUAAGCCUGUGACCAAGCUACUGCAAAAAGAUGUGAAGUUUGUGUGGUCCCAGGAGUGUGAAGUCGCUUUCACCACUUUACGCCAUUUGCUGACCACCGCUCUUGUUCUGGCACAGCCUGACAUUGAAAAGCCAUUUGACGUCUUUUGUGAUGCUUCUGGCACUGGCCUAGGUUGUGUGCUUAUGCAAGAAGGCCGAAUUAUUGCCUAUGCCUCUCGGCAGCUGAGGAAACAUGAAGCCAACUACCCGACUCAUGAUCUAGAGUUAGCAGCAGUUGUACACGCAUUGAAACUCUGGAGGCAUUAUCUAUUGGGUAAUCUAUGUCACAUUUACACUGACCAUAAGAGCCUCAAAUAUAUCUUCACACAACCCGAGUUGAACAUGAGACAAAGAAGAUGGUUGGAAUUGAUAAAGGACUAUAACCUUGAAGUACACUAUCAUCCAGGCAAAGCCAAUGUUGUGGCCGAUGCUCUUAGUCGGAAACAACAUGUUAGACCUCUCCUAGAGGAAGGCUUCGAUUUAUUGCAUCCGGUGGUCCUGCACAACAUUGUAGUCAGCUGCUCGUUAGAGAGUCAAAUCAUAGAGCUCCAAAAGUCUGAUCCUGGUAUUUUCCAUAUCAAAAGAAAAAUGCAAGAGCAAGACACCAAGCACUUCAAGGUAGAUGAGAAGGGUGUACUGUGGUUUGACGAUCGACUAGUUGUACCUAAGGACCGUAACCUACGCAAAAAAAUUUUAGAUGAAGCUCAUUCUUCCAAGUUGUCCAUUCAUCCGGGUAGUAGCAAAAUGUACCAAGACUUGAAACCUCGUUUCUGGUGGACCAAGAUGAAGAAGGAGAUAGCAGCUUAUGUUGCUAGGUGUUAUACUUGUUGCAGGGUAAAGGCAGUUCACCUUAAACCUGCAGGUUUAUUGCAACCUUUGUCGGUUCUGGGUUGGAAAUGGGAGGAAAUCAGCAUGGAUUUUAUUGUUGGCCUUCCCCCUACCCAAAAGGGACACGACUCCAUAUGGGUGAUUGUUGACCAUUUGACCAAGUCAGCCCAUUUUAUCCCUGUGAAGUCGACACACCGAAUAUCCGACUACGCAGAGUUAUACUUCUCUCAUAUUGUUAAAUUGCAUGGAGUGCCUUGCACCAUUAUUUCUGAUAGGGGUCCUCAGUUCACUGCUCGCUUUUGGGAUCAUCUGCAUUCACUCCUUGGUACAAAGUUGGUUCGCAGUUCACCCUACCACCCUCAAACCUCCGGUCAGACUGAGCGUGUGAAUCAAAUUUUAGAGGAUAUGUUGAGGGCAUGUGUGAUAUCUUCCAAGGGUGCAUGGGAGAAAUGGCUACCCUUAGCUAAAUUCUCUUACAACAAUAGUUAUCAAGAAAGCAUCCAAAUGGCUCCUUUUGAAGCUUUGUAUGGCCGCAAAUGUAGGACUCCUCUAAACUAGGUCGAACCUGGUGAGAGGAGCUACUACGGAAUUGACUUUGUCAAAGAAGCCAAAGAACAAGUUCUCAUUAUCCAGCAACACAUGAAAGCUGCCCAAGCUAGACAGAAAAGCUAUGCAGAUAGGAGAAGAAAACCACUCGAGUUCGAAGUAGGUGACUUUGUGUACCUACAGGUAUCACCCAUGAAAGGAGUAAAUCGCUUUGGUGUAAAAAGAAAGCUUGCCCCUAGGUAUGUGGUUCCCUACCAAAUCAUUGAGAAGAGCGGCAAGGUAGCUUACAAAGUACAACUACCUCCGGAACUAGGAACCAUUUUCCCUGUAUUCCAUGUGUCUCAACUCAAGAAGUAUCUUCGUGUGCCCGAAGAGCGAGUUGAAACAAGAGGCCUAAAGUUGCAGUCUGACCUGUCAUAUGAAGAAAAGCCUGUACAAGUUCUUGAUGUCAAGGAACGAGUUACUCGUGGGAGAGUAAUCAAACUUUUUAGAGUUUUGUGGAACCGUCAAAGUGAAAGAGGUGCCACUUGGGAAAAGAAGGACUAUUUACAAGUAACUUAUCCCUCAUUCUAUGAAAAAUGGUACGUCUUUCAAAUCUCGGGACGAGAUUUUUGUAAGGGGGGAGGGCUGUAACACUCCUAGUGUUAGCUUGCAUGUUAACCAUGAGCAUUGCAUCAACAUAAGCAUCAUCAUGAUCACUCAUGAGCAUCAUACCAUGAUCACAUGCCAUUUGCUACAUGUACUAUGUGAUUAAGUUGCUAUAUGACUUGCUAUGGUUGAUUGUAAUGGGUGACUGUAACACCCAAAAAUUUUAUUUCUUUUAAAUAGAUGAAAUGAAUUUAAAUGAAUUUAUUUUGUGAGCAUUUUCAAUAUAGGAAAAUAAAUAAAUUUGGAGAAAUUAAAAUUUAAUAUAAGUUUAGAAUAAUAAUUUUUGUUGCCGCCGGAGCAUUUCUUUUGUGAUGAUUGGUUGGAAAACAAAAUGAUUUAUUUAUUCUCUUUUCCUGCUCAAAAUUUCAAUUGGAAAUUUGGUAUAAAAAAAGAGAAAUGGAAUUCUUUCUCCCCCUUUCUCUCUAUUCGGCCUUUCGGCCCAAAACCCCCCCGCGCACGCGCCCUUUUCCCUGGGCCGCGGCCUGCUAGACAGCCGGCUCCCCCUUUUCCCCCUCUCUCUCUUUCCCCCCCCCCCCCCCCCGCUGACAGGCUGGGCCCGUCUGUCAGCUCCCUCUUCUCCAACCGCCCGCCCACUCCUUGCUCUCGGUUUCGAACCACUCUGCGCCCCCCCCACCGCUCCCACGUUCUCUCCCACUCCUCCCCUCUUCCCCACGCUUGGAUAAGUAGUGGGCUGCGAGCCGCGCGUCUCCUUCUCCUCCCCAGUUUCCCUCUCCUCGCUUCUGCUCCCGUCCGUGCGCGCGCAGAGAGAAGCCGUCGCCGGAGUUUCUGCCCGCCGCGCGAACCGCCGUCCCGAGCCGUUUUCGCCGAUUCUCGUCGCGCUGGUGAGCUUCCCAUUCUUCCCCGCUCCCUCCCCGUCCUUUUGCCGUGCGAAUCGGGGUUCUCUAGCGCCCCGGUCGCGCUCGCCGGAGUAGUUCGUCGCGGCCGGCCAUGGCGCGGGCCUCUCGGGCAUUCUCCGACCGCGUCUUAGCCCGGGACGAAUUCCCCUUGCCCUCCUCUCUCUCCCGGUGGUUUCGGUUUGGAAAACCGCGCGGCGUAGCCUCCUCUUGAAGUGCGCCGGUGAGCUCCUCGCUGCGGCAAUGGCGGUGCCGCCGCCAUCCCCUUCCCCUCCGGCGGCCGGCCCCUCCUCUCCCCUUCUCCCCCCAGGAUCUAAUCGUGGCCGUCCAUUUCUAAUCGGAUGGCCAGUGACGCCCCCGUUACCCCUUCGGGGGCAGUUUUGCUUAAGAGCCCCUCCCUGAGUUCCAAAUUCUGCCCGCAGUCCUCGGCCGGAAGAAUUCCAGGGAUUUUCCAAAUUAUUUUAAAUCGUUUAAACUUUGAAAUAAUCACAGAAUUGCCAUUGCAUUGUUUUGGCCAUAAAAUAUUCGUUUUAGCUCCAAUUUGACCCGUUCGAAUUGCGUUAGGUUCGUAAUUAAAUUCUCUACAUGAUAGUACUACUGUUUCUGUAGUUUGCCCCUUGUUAUUUUCAGGGUUAGGUUUAAUUAAUUAAAUGCCUAUAGGAAUCGUCGAAAAUUCGUAACUUGAUCGUUUUAGCUCCGAUUUUCGUGAUCUUCGUAUCUAUGUGAUCGUAGCCAAACGUAGGUUCUGUUUUUAAAUAUUUUAUUUAAUUUUUGAUCUGUUGGUGUACUGUUCUAACUAAAGAAUUGUUUGCUUGUAUGAUUGAACUUGGAAUGCGUGUUGUUGUGUGGUACCGAUCGAGCGCAGACGGUGACGUGUCCGUGGGUGAUCCAUUUUACUUCGAGGAGCAGCAGGACCAGCAGCAGUUCCCCUUCACCGAAGGCAAGUAUAACAUGGGUUUCCCUUGUACAACUAUUCACUUAAUUAAUUACACAUCUGCAUGUGUCUAAUUUUGAUAACCCUAAGGACACCCUAGCUACCUGACUAUAUAUUUAUGACACCUAUGGGUAGAAUGCAUGUGGGUAGCUUUGCUAGUGCUUUAAUUAAAUGAGACUUUAUUAUCACUCAGACUAUAAUGAAUAUGAUGACAAAUGUUGAGAAAAAGGGCUAGGGUGCAACUGACUUCGGUCAGGUUGACCUAGACCCUCCGUAAGGACUUCUCUAUAAGCGACUAUCCGGGACAUACAGUGCAACCGUGAUGGUUAUAUGGCUCUAACUUUAGCUCAGUAAUAGGAUCUCAUCUAGCUGGUUAGAGGUUACUCGAAAGGGCACAAGAGGGGCUUGCCACUUUGGGUAUAGAACUGCUUCUAUUCCUAUGUGUAUAGCCGUGAUGGAAAUGUGCCAUAGGAAAGGGGGGUUCUCUAUAUCUGCCUGCCGAGGAAACCUCGCGGCCCUAACUGGUUAGACGUGGCCUAUGGAAGGCUUCAUAGUGUUCCUUGCCCGCUCACCUUGGCAGUGUGUUGACGGUCCUUAAGUACUAAAAUUAAUAAUCAAAUAAACAUGAAAAAGGAUCAAUAUGAAACAAACAUCUAGAAUUAGGGUUUUAUCUGACAGAAUUCCACGAGUUUUGGUGUUUAUCUAUUUCUACAGGGGUUUAUCAGAAAAUAUGGAGAGAAGGCCCACAUGUCAUGUUUACAACGAGAUAAUUACGUGCCGCGCAAUUUUCCUCAAUCUAGCAGAAUACAGAAGCCAUGGGAACGAACGAGAAGGGAUUUGGGCUCGGGGGCAGGGCGCCCGCCACCCCCCUUGGGCGCCCGCCCAGGGUAGGAGUCCAAUCAGGACUCUGCUUCGGGACAACGCUCCACCGACCUAAAGGAUCAAUCUAAACUAUACAAUCUAUGUCGGUUUGAUCCAAUGGCUCACGUUCACUUGAGGGGACUAUAAAACCAGACCCCCUGGCCCCUGGAGGAGAGGAGGAGAAAUCAAUAUUCAGAGGUAGCCAUCAAAGUUAGGGUUUAGAGCUUCUCUCCCACAGAGAAUUAGAAUUAGCUACUCCCUAAUCCUUCAAGUUUAGAGGUUGAUUAGAUAGCAAUUAGAGAAGUAGAGCACUACGCUCUGGAUUCGAAUCUUCGGUAAUAAAGAUUGGUAUUAUUCAUAUAUUUCUCUAAUUCUAUUGUUCUAAUUGCAUUAUGUCUCUAAUUAUUAUGUUCUUAGUUUGCUCUAGUUCUAUAUUUGAUAUAGUUCUAAUUGAUAAUGAGUUUAUGUAUAAGUUUGCAAAGCGCUUAGCUCUUGACGCGAGGGAGUUAGGUGAUAGAUCACAUGUGAGCGUGGUGCUUAGAUGUUAUUUAUCUGCAAAUGUAUCCUAUUGGCUGGGUCGUGUGGUAGUUCGCGAUAGUGACAGCUUCGUUGAUUCUUAUAUAGUCCACCCUCUGUUGAUAGGACAGGCAGAACCGGUAUUGUGGAGUAAGUCAUGCGAUGCUCUGAUUUACUUUAUCAAUGUUCCUUAUACAUGAAUGAAGAGUCUUUUAUGCUAUAUAUGAUCUUGUAGAUAACUAGAGUAGAUUAUGACUUAGUAGUUAGUAGAUAACUUAGAAUCCAUUCUCUAGCUAAUCCGACAUCACCUACAUAUAUGAGGAGUAGUCUAUUUUCUAAUCGCUGUGUUAUCUACCCAUGAACUUGUAAUUCAUUAUCAUUAUCUUUAUGGUUUACUCCGUGCUAAAGUAUGUGACUGUGUGACGAGUUUCUCAUUAGUAAUCAUGUUCUUGCAAGUUUAUCUCUAGUCUAUGCCUUGAUAGAUUUUGCCCCCUUGAUUUAAUUUCUUUUUCUUGAGAUCCCUUGAGCAAAAUUAUAAAUAACGAUACCUGGAAUACUUAUCCUGGUGAAAUGCUACAAUGAGGUGUUUUAUCUGUGCGCUUGCGGAUAGAAUAGAUUAUUUUCUAGAGAGCCUUUACAUUUAUAAAUACCUUUGUACACUCUGGCGCCAUGCUAGGGAUGACAACCUAGUAUCUAAGUGGUGUUAGCUAGUGUCAACAAGCAUUUCUGGCGCCGUUGCCGGGGAACUUAUAGGAAUUUAUACGAGUCUCAGGAAUAAGUCAUAAAAGGGAACAAAAGGGUAACACAUAGAAACGGUAAGGAAAGCCAGAAAAUCAAUCAAGGUUAUUCAUAUAAAAUAUUAGACUAGACUAUAGAGAAAUAAUUGCACAAAAACAGCUACUAAGUGAGAAAUCAUAACAAGGCACCUCUGCUUUGGCAGGUUCACCCUGUUGUUUUUCUAUGUUUAUAUUUUUAUACAGGGUAUUGUUGAUAUUUGGUAACGCAAUUAGAAAAUGAUCCGCAAGCGCACGGAUAUCGGUGAGCAUUUCACCCGGGAGGUUAUCCAGAGUUAUCGUAUUUAUAUUUUUACCACUGGGAGAAAGGGUGCAUCUGACUAACCAAAUCUAUUGCUACUAUCCCUUUAAGCUUCAAAGAAUGUUUCUCGAUGUGAGCGAUGUAUAAAGAAGACUGCAACCGUAGUCUCGUUCUAACCUUGGUAAGGAUGAUCUACUGUUCUAUUGGGGAGGCUCACGGAAUCUAGACAACACAAAGGAUGUUCGACCCGUACCUAUAAACCUACCCGUCCUACUAACAAGAUAUGGGAUACAAAGGUAACUUGGAAAUGUCACGUUCCUCGCUACUACCACGGUCCAGCUAGUCAGGGGAUAUGAGUACCCUAGCCUAAACACCACGUUUACGCUAGCAAUGAUUACUCUAAUACUCAACCGGAAGAGGAUUAAAGUAAACUCAUAAACCAAAGAACAAUAAAACAAGAACUUACUAGAAUUAGAAGUCGAAUUACUGAAGAAUCUUAGAAGCAAGCCUCGGGUUAGGAGACUUGAUCCCGUAGGUACAACUCGGACUAGACACCGACAGGCCGGCCUUCCUCCGAUCUACACCUCCACUCUAUCUCUCUCAAUCUAGUAGAAACUAGAAGAUCUAUUUCUACUUACAUUGGUUGCUAAGCCUAAAAAGAAAUAUUAUUUAGAGAAGAGGUUUUCCUUCGAGGGCACCCCUCAAUCUCUAUGAUAACUUCUUGUCUCCUCCAGGGGCCAGGGGCCUUGCUUAUAUAGUCCUCCUCCUCUGUGCGUUUUUGGUUCAGCAGGCGAUGUGGUACUAAACUUUCCACCAUAUCUCAUUAAAAUGCACAUAGGCCUUAAUGGACCAAAAUCUGAUUUGGGCCCAAUUAAUCCCGCAGCUCUUUUAUGUGGAGUCCUUCUUUUAUUAAUAUCUCUUGAUUCCGAACUCCAAAUAUAGCAAAUAAUAUAUGCAUUUCGAUCAGCUCGACGAGACCUUUGCAAUGGUGUACUCCAUUCUGUGAUUGGUGGAAACACCUGGGCGGGCGCCCAAGGGGGGUGUUCGGGCGCCCUGCCCCCGGGCCCGUUUGCCUUCUCGUUCGUUCCCGUGGCUUCUGGAGUCUUCUAGAUGAUAGAAAACUGUGCGGCACAUUAAUAUCUCUAUGUAAUCCCGACGUGUGGGCCUUUCUUCCAUAUUUCCUGAUAACUCCCUGUAGAAAUAGACAAACACCAAAACUCGUGGAAUUCUGUCAGAUAAAACCCUAAGUCUGGGUGUUGGUUGCAUUUGGAUCCUUUUCUUUAUUUAUUUGAUGAUUAUAUUUGGUACUUAAGGACCGUCAACAACUCCCCCAAGCUUACCUCCUGCUCGUCCCUGAGCAAGGAUGGACUCAAGAGUUUCUGCAGUGGUUUUAUGCCUUAAAAAUACACAUGCGUUCAAUCAAGAUCUCAUCUCUGAGUUAGAGUAAACUGUUAAGACUUAAAACUUACUCAUUUUACCUUUCACCAUGGGUCUUGCAACCGUCACUUGUGUCUUGAGCAGUUAAAAGAUAGAACGGUCAAGUCAAGCGCCAUGUCUCUUAUUCUUGAUCAGCUAUAGCUCUGGAGUUUUUUGCAGAUUUUGAAAUAAAACUCAGAGAUUCCUUAUAUGACUCUCUCAAUUCUCUCUUUUGUGGUAUUUCUGGAUCUUUACCAAGGCAGUAAUGGUGUAUGCCUUCUCUCAAAGUAUGUGGUAUUUUUGGUAUAAUGCAUAGUGAUAUUACCUUCUCUCUCACCCUGCUCUAAUAAGGUUUUGAUAUCUGGAGCUCAUAGGUGGGAGACAGCUAAUACAUACUUACAAGACAUUUAUUGCAUAGUCAAACCAUGGAUCCAGAGAAACAAGUCAAUAAGUCAAAUCAAGAUGUGCAUGUGUGGCGAGUGAACGGUGUAUGGUGAUGAUGGUGAUAACAAUGGUGAAAGUCUAAUUCUACUUUUCCUCUUUUGAGGGGAUACAUACCUUUCUUGCACUUUGAAGCUUUUUGGGGAGAAUGAGAUGCUCUAUAUUUUCUUUUUCUUUCCUCUCAGGUGGGUAUCUUGUACCCGUAAUUCUACUAUCGGACACUUGUCCAUUUUUACCUCUCGUCUCAUUUUUUCUUUUCUUCGAGGUUCCGGGCACUUGCCCCUUUUUAUUUCCUCGUAUUAUUUUUUUUCUUCUUUUUUUAGAGCACUCAUCUCCUUAAAUAAUAUAGCAAGUGGUAGUAACCAAGAUAACUCGAGCAUUUAUUUCACAGGGAAUAACAGGGAUAGGAUAAUGUUUUUGGCUAUUCUCUCCCAGAUUAGGAGUAGAAUAAUUUUGGGUGAAUCUGGAGAUGGAAAUGAGUGGAUAUAUGUGGACGGUACUUCCGGAGUAGAAGUAGCAUGUAUGAGUGAACGUGCAAGUGAAUCUUGAUUUUAACCACAUGACAAGCUCCUAAGGGUCUACACAGCUUGACCACACUCAAUGCUCAUAAGCAGUAAAAAGUAAAUGUGUGGCUCAAAGUCUAGCAAGCAUGUAUAUAUGGCUGUGGUAGGAUCUUAAACUCUCAUCAUACAGGAACUCAUCAUGUGAUAUUUUAAAGAUUUUUCAAAGAUAAAAUUCUCCAGAAUUCUAGCAUCUCUAGGAAUAGAUAAACAGCAGCUCAACCUUCCCAUAUCGUAUCCGUUAACAACUUAGACUUUAGAUCAAGUACUCUUCCCACAAGUUCAGGUUUAGAGCAAAUCUUACUUCAUAACAGUCAUGCCUAAACUUGAGAGAGAUUUCAAUUUUAAGAACUAGUCAUGGCAGAGCAACUAUUCAUCAUUUCCAUGUGAGAGCUUAUCAUGAGGGUUUAUAGCAAACUUUAUUUAUUUAUUUAUUUAGCAAACUAAGCAAAGAUAUAUAUAAAAGCACAAAAUCUUUAUUUGGGUUUUUUAUGAUUAUGCAUCUUUUUAUUAUUUGAGUAAAGUAUAAACGCGAGUAGAAACACUUAGCUAGAUAAAUGGGGGUGCUCUCCCCCAAGCUGGAUUUUGACGUAAUUUCUUCUGAUGUAGCUAGCAGGUGAUGGAGGUGUAUUUGAAAGUCGGCAGCACCCUGACAGCGAUUAGGAUGUCCUCCGUCUGCUAGUCUUCUUUGAUCCUUGAAUUCUGUGGAGCUCAAAUAGACAACAUAGCUUUGUGAAACUGGUUAAUUGUUAGCAUAAAUAUCUAGCCUUUAUCAUGUUGAGCCUCCUCAAUAAACGUUACUUAUUUAGCAGGAUCAUGCACUUAUUAUUUUUAUAUAUUUAUUGUAAGAUGAAAACAUAUUUAUUUUAUGCCACCACAGUCAAUAUACCUAUGGGUUUUAUGCCAUGAGCAUACUCACAUGGGGCUUACUAUUUUUUAACAUUUUUAUUUUCUUUUCAAGAUAGCAUGAACCUGAUUAACUAAGCAAACUAUAAUUGAAUAAUUGAAGGGAAAAAGAUAACUACCAAGUUUACCUCUUGGCAAGACGUUCGGUGUUUUUAAGUCCUCCGAACGAGACUCCUUGUGUUUUCUCAGUCGUCCUGGGAUUCGUUGGAUGGCGUAGUCGGUGGUUCCGGCGACGCCUCCUCUUCGUGUAUAACUAUCUUCUCUCUCCACAUCUGACUCGGUGCUACGGUCUCCACAGGACAGUUCUGUUCAAGUUGUAUGUCUUCAGACCUUAUCACUUCUCCAUCGUAGUCUACCCAUCCGUCCUUGAUGAUUUGCCUCCUCUGGUUGCGGUUGCGUUGUCUUCUUCUUGUCCUGACCUGCUUAGAAUCUUCAACUAUAUAGUUAGAAUCAUUAAAGUAGUGGCGUACCUUCUCAGUGGGGAAGUGCAUGUGGACUUCUCCGGUUCCAAUAUAGAUGAUGGCUUUGAUAGUGUUUGAGGAACGGUCAUCCAAGGAUGGUAGGUAGAUCAUACUCGUCUUCUCCCAUGUCAAUGUUCUGAAAAUCAUCUAGAGCUGAAUAUAUAUUGGUUGUAGGGGCAUGGUUCCAUGCAGGAGCUGAUAAGUGACUGCGGUCAUUAUGUUGACGUCAGAUCCGGUGUCAUAGAGUGUCUUCUGAAAAGAGUAUCCAUUGAUUAUGCACUCGAUGCUUGGAACACCAAGGUCGUCCUUCUUGAUCAGGAAAGGCGACUUGAGUCGACGAUCUUGACUUCCUCCGACAAGGAUCCAAUGUUUUAAGUCUUCUGGACAAGACUUCUCACCGUCUUCAUCCUUUAGGUGCAUCAUUUGAUUAGGUGUGGACCUUGACGCCUGCACUUCUUGAUACGGUGUCACCCAUGUUCUUCGUUUGUCUAGCAGUUUGAAGUGCAGUGUUGGCAAUAUCCUGCUUAGUGUGUUUGUGCUCAUAGAUCCAAGUCCUUCACUUGGUGGAGUCUGGGAGUUGUAAAACUCCUCCAUGUUUUGUUCGAAGUGUACCUAUUCAUAGAGACAAGGCAGAGAUCAAGUGCAUGGGCCCUGUUGGUGGAAAACACCAACAGAACCAAAAGUGUAUUUGUUCGUCUCUAACCUUAAGCAUAGUGAGCAAGACAAAGUUGAUGGAUCAUGAGUGUAGCAUUUAAAACAUUUGUUAGAUCAGAUGGCUCAACCUAAUGGAAAGAUAAUAUAUCUAUAUUUAUGUUUUGUUUAUAUCUUCCAAAGAUUGAAUGUGCAACAUUUUAGCUUAUAUGAUUACGAGUGUGGGAUCACGAAGGUAGUACUAAGAACAAAGAUUAAAGGACUAAACAUGUUGAAUUAAUUAAGUUGGUUAAUUAGGAGUUACAGAUCAUACAUGUUUGUCUCUUUAUUUUAUGUGAACGCCAGAACCAAGGAGAAGCUUAUAAAAGUGAUAGUCAAGUACCUUAAAUUGUUACCUUACUUGAAGAGUGACGGUACAGUAUCACCUUGUAGAAGCUUUCCUUUCUUAGCGGUUGUGCAUCGUGUUUGUGGCACCCUCCAUGAAUCAUCUCUUAUGAGCUACGUCUUCAUGUGUCACUUUCUUCAUCUCCAAUUUUAGUUUAUCUCAAGACUUCCCAGGUUGAUAUUGAAAGUUUUCCUGCAGGGGUUAGUCCAACAAAAUAUACCAAUAUCUACUCAAGCAGUUUUUUAGUUCAGUAACCAAACUAGACUCCAUGUCUAAUCAGAUUAAGGAAGGCUAUUUAACCUAAGCACCAUGCUUAAUUUAAAUGCCAAUGGAAGUAUGUCGAGUACUUCCAAACCAACACUUACUAGGAUAAACAAAGGUAGCAUGAUGGCAUUUAUAGAGAUCUACUCAAGUGGAGAUGAAGUAGUGUGAUUAGUAUUUAACAAAUCAAGCGUGUUUCAAAGGUAGGAACAACCAACAUAGCAACAUGGCAAAGGAUGUUUUUAUGUAAAGUACUCCCCCAAGCUUGAAUUUUGCGAAAUUCAAGUUUGGAUGAAUUUAAUUCAAUGUUGUAUGAUGGUUGGUUGGACAUACCUUGUGCUUGUCAUUCAUCUGAUCUUCUUGCUCCAAUCUGGAAAGGUUAGUGGCAAGAAUACCCGAAGGAAUAUUUCUACAAUUAUCUCAAUAUGCUCAAUACACAAGGCAAUGUUGCAAAUAAUUUCAUGUUACGAUCUGAUAAGUGCUUGUUUAAGGACGCUAAGCUUAUCCUUGGGAAACCAUCAAGUUAUGUUGGUGAAGUGGUUUCCCCUACCUAUAUCAAGAUCAACUCAACGAGAUCUGCAAUAUUUAUUAUAGACAUAUGCAUCGACAACCGCCCUUUUAAAGUUUUUAUAAAUAGAAAGGAAGAGGGGGUUGGAGAUCUCAAAUGCAGUGAUGUUGGAGAGACCAAUUGAUUGGGGAGAUGUUUUAUAUGAGCAAGGACUUGGUGAGGUAUUUAUGAAAUAACUUCCAUGCUCACUGUUGUUUAUCUCAUUCUCAAACUCCAAGGAUGAUUCUUCAUGAAUGCUUAAAAUUCCUCUAGGAUUGUCUCUCAAGUUUGUUUUAUCCAUCCAUUCAAUGGUGAUAGCACAUGGAUUUUUAAUGCCCUCUAGCCAUCGAUGUUGCUCUUCUCGAUCCUCCUUCUUAUGCAUGGGAUGUCUAGAAAGAUUCAUAGGAUUAUCGGGAGGUUCAAGAGAAAGAGCAUAGUAGAAAUUAUUAGGCUCAAGGAUGGGUUGGAUAGCCGAAUCAUGGGAUUGGAAUGUUUGGAAAUUGGCUAUUGAAACUUCCUUUCCUCGUCUGGGAGAUGAUUCGUUCUCUAUCUCUAAGAUUUUUCUAUGAAGACUAGUGAAAGAAGGAUGUCCACAAAUGAAGACAUACCUUCCUUUACUAAUAGAUAAAGAAUGAAAGACUCUACCAAUGGUUAUAUAAUUAAGACCAAUGUGAAAAUAUCAAGAAAAAACAGGGUCUUGUAGGCCUAGGUCUAAACCAGAAUUUAUAGAAAGAUUAAAAGAUUCCCUAGGUGUAGCUAAAAGUGCAUUAUCUUCUUGAUUAAAAGAUAGGACCUCGGCUAUAGAAAAGGGUUGGUUUUGACCUAUUGCAAUCAACUCCGGACACAGAUCAUAAUUAGGGGCAGGACGUGUUGACUCCCAUGGUCUAUGGCUGGUCUCCGAAGGUGCAAAGAAUUCAAUAAUAGGUAUGGAAUUUGAGUUAUCCAUAAAGAUAAAAAUAAAAGAUAAAAGAAUAAAAUUAUAAAAGUAUAAUACAAGAUAAUAGCAAGACUCAAAGUUAUCUCACCAAACCGUCUUUCUCUCCGGCAACGGCGCCAGAAAUGCUUGUUGAUAUUUGGUAACGCAAUUAGAAAAUGAUCCGCAAGCGCACGGAUAUCGGUGAGCAUUUCACCCGGGAGGUUAUCCAGAGUUAUCGUAUUUAUAUUUUUACCACUGGGAGAAAGGGUGCAUCUGACUAAUCAAAUCUAUUGCUACUAUCCCUUUAGGCUACAAAGAAUGUUUCUCGAUGUGAGCGAUGUAUAAAGAAGACUGCAACUGUAGUCUCGUUCUAACCUUGGUAAGGAUGAUCUACUGUUCUAUUGGGGAGGCUCACGGAAUCUAGACAACACAAAGGAUGUUCGACCCGCACCUAUAAACCUAACCGUCCUGCUAACAAGAUAUGGGAUACAAAGGUAACUUGGAAAUGUCACGUUCCUCGCUACUACCACGGUCCAGCUAGUCAGGGGAUAUCUAUGAGUACCCUACCCUAAACACCACGUUUACGCUAGCAAUGAUUACUCUAAUACUCAACCGGAAGAGGAUUAAAGUAAACUCAUAAACCAAAGAACAAUAAAACAAGAACUUACUAGAAUUAGAAGUCGAAUUACUGAAGAAUCUUAGAAGCAAGCCUCGGGUUAGGAGACUUGAUCCCGUAGGUACAACUCGGAGUAGACACCGACAGGCCGGCCUUCCUCCGAUCUACACCUCCACUCUAUCUCUCUCAAUCUAGUAGAAACUAGAAGAUCUAUUUCUACUUACAUUGGUUGCUAAGCCUAAAAAGAAAUAUUAUUUAGAGAAGAGGUUUUCCUUCGAGGGCACCCCUCAAUCUCUAUGAUAACUUCUUGUCUCCUCCAGGGGCCAGGGGCCUUGCUUAUAUAGUCCUCCUCCUCUGUGCGUUUUUGGUUCAGCAGGCGAUGUGGUACUAAACUUUUCACCAUAUCUCAUUAAAAUGCACAUAGGCCUUACUAGACCAAAAUCUGAUUUGGGCCCAAUUAAUCCCGCAGCUCUUUUAUGUGGAGUCAUUCUUUUAUUAAUAUCUCUUGAUUCCGAACUCCAAAUAUAGCAAACAAUAUAUGCAUUUCGAUCAGCUCGACGAGAUCUUUGCAAUGGUGUCUUCUAGAUGAUAGAAAAUUGUGCGGCACAUUAAUAUCUCUAUGUAAUCCCGACAUGUGGGCCUUUCUUCCAUAUUUCCUGAUAACUCCCUGUAGAAAUAGACAAACACCAAAACUCGUGGAAUUCUGUCAGAUAAAACCCUAAGUCUGGGUGUUGGUUGCAUUUGGAUCCUUUUCUUUAUUUAUUUGAUGAUUAUAUUUGGUACUUAAGGACCGUCAACAGGUAUAACAGGAUUGACUUUGGGUACAUUGAACUCUUCAUCAUCAGAACCAAAGCAAUCAAGAGAAGAAGAAGCUAGCUACCAAUUGCUGAAGCUAUGGCACAAAAGACCUUGCAAGAAUUCUCUGCUCCAAGUCUUGACAACAUUCCAACCGGUCCAAGAUUUGCAGUAGAAGAAGGAAUACCCGAGUUUGAGCUCAAGUUAAGCCUCAUCAAUUUGGUGCAAGCUACACAAUUUAGUGGAAAGGCACAUGAAGAUGCUAGUGCACACUUGCAGAAUUUCUUAGAGAUUGGAAGCACAAUCCACAUCAACGGAGUUGACAAAGAUGUCAUACUACUUCGUCUUUUUCCAUUCUCACUAGAAGGAAAAGCGAGGAAGUGGUUCUACACUCAUCAAGAUAACAUCAACAACUGGACGAACUUGUCAGAUGCCUUUCUAUCAAAGUUUUUCCCUAUAGGCAAAACAACUGCCUUAAGAGGAAAUAUUGUCAGUUUCCAACAACAGAAGACAGAAGCCAUUUCAGAAGCAUGGGAGCGUUUUCAAGGAUACAUAUCAGAUUGUCCUCACCAUGGAAUGGCCAUAUGGUUACUUAUGCAGACCUUCUACCAUGGAUUAACCCAGAAGGCUCCUGAGUGCCUAGAUGCAUCUGCUAAAGGAUCAUUCUUGGAGCUUACAACUGGAAAAGCAGAGAUACUUUUGGAUAAGAUAGCAGAAAACCAAAGCUGGUUCCAAGAUAAAGCUCAACAAUGUCAUCAAACUGAAGAAAUACCAGAAGAAGUAAAUGCAUUAUCAACUAAGAUCGAAAAUUUGCUCCAUUGGAUUGACCAGAGGGCCAAGUUCAAAGAAGAUCAAAGGGCCAUUGAGACAGCAUACAAAUAUCAACCAACUUCGAGUCAACCCAAUAGCAAAGGUAUGAAUUCAGGUAAUACUGUCAAACAACUUUCAUUAAAAGAGAUAAUUGCUCAACAAACCAAAAUUAAUGAUGAAGUUAAACAAAGGCUAGAUACAAAUGAAUCAUCUCUAAAAGAUAUAUACAAUAAAAUGGAUUUUCUACUAACUGCCUUUGAUGAGCAAAACACUCUUAAUAAAAGGGUAGAGCUUAAAUUAAUAAAAUUAGCUGCUGCACUGCCUGUUGCUACUAACCUUGAGCAGGUAAAGAAUAUAACUACUAGAGGAGGCAAAGCUACCAGAGAUCCACCAUACCCAAAAGAGAAACAAAGAACAUUAGCACCAGUGCAACCAGCAGUGAUAGAAGAAGAAAUCCCAGUUGAAGCAGAAGACCUGCUCCAACCACCAAGAACUGGAGAAAUGAGGAAAGAUUUUUACGACACCAACUAUUUGCCAUUUCCCAGAAGAAACAGAGGACUGCAGUCUGAUGAGCAGUUUGGUAAGUUUGUAGAGGUCAUUCAGAAAUUAUAUGUCAACAUACCUCUGCUGGAUGCCAUACAGGUACCUACAUAUGCAAAGUACAUCAGAGAUAUUCUUAACAAGAAGAGACCACUGCCCACCACUGAGGUUAUCAAGCUGACAGAAGAAUGUAGUGCGGCCAUCCUCAAUAAACCACCAAAGAAGAAGGAAGAUCCUGGAUGUCCCACUAUUGAUUGCUCGAUCGGAAACCAACACUUCAACAAUGCACUUUGUGAUCUCGGAGCAAGUGUCAGUGUGAUGCCAGCAUUAGUCUACAAAAAGCUUGAUCAUGCAGCCUUAGAACCAACAUCAAUGUGCCUACAACUAGCGGAUCAAUCGGUUCGACACCCCUUGGGCAUCGCCGAGAACAUUUCAGUCAAGAUCAGAGAUUUCCUGGUGCCAGUAGACUUCGUAGUACUAGACAUGAGUCCUGACUCAAACGUGUCCAUCAUCCUUGGAAGGCCAUUUCUGAGCACUGCCAAUGCCACAUUGAUGUCGGAAAAGGAGAAAUCAAGUUCAACAUAAACGGUCAAGAAGAACACUUCACAUUCAAACCCAGACCAGAAAGAGACUCUACAGUGAAGGAAUUUCAUGAAGAACCACUGGAGACACCAUCUCCAGAGGAAGGUAAUUGAAGAUUAAAAGAAUUGGAGGUCCAGCUUGGGGGACCUAAAAAUCCCAAACCCUCACCGGGAGGUAAAUCGGUAAUUAUCCGCAUUAUUAAUUUUCUCAUAUUUAAAUUCUUGCAUAAUUAAUUCUUGCAUUAGUCAUGGCAUUAUUAUAAUAAUCAAAAAAGCCCCGUAUAAAUAAUAUUCGUGGUGUGUAACAACCCAUAUUUAUUAAUUAUUGUGGAGGCACAAAAAUAUUUUCCAUUAUCAUUUUAAUUAAGUUUUAAUAGAUUUUCCUGCAUUAUAUUUAAUUAUAUUAAUCUUCUAGAAGCAUGACCCACACUCCUUGGGUCCCACAUGCCAUACACCACACCUCACAUACAUCCCAUCACAUAAUUUCAUCCACCAAUAUGUUUCCACUCACCAGACAUCUUUCCAUCAUCCAACAACCACCACACAACAUUAUUCUGCGUGAGAUCAAAGCAAGGAAGCAAGUGGAGGAGGCACACCCAGGAUGGACACCAGGAGUGGGCGCCCGCCCACCUACCAAGGGCGCCCGCCCUGCUCCCUCUUCCUCCUAUAAAAGGCCACCUCCAGCUCCCCUUCUCUUCACACAAACACUCUAGAAAACCACACAAGCCUCAGUUUCCCGAGAAGGAGUUCUUGUAGUGAAGAGAAAAGAGUAGAGAGAAAGAGAAGAGUGGAAGAGAAGGUUGGGAGUUCUUUUGAGAGAGUGAUUAUCACCUAGCAAGUAGUGAUCCCGUUGUCUAAGCGGAAGUAAAAGUUGUUUAGGGGAAGCUCUACCAAAAUAGAAAUUUAGCUUGAACGAUUAACCCCUGGACUACUGACACUCCGGACAGCUGACCACUAACAUUUUAUCUCACAUUUUCCACUAGUUGUGUUUUUUUCUCCAAUUUUUGUUUACAGGAUGUUUAAGAAGGUGAAGAAUGCAGGAAGAGCUCUCAAGAACAUUGGUACAAGGAGUUCAGCUCGACACUCCUCACAGCCAUCAGAGAUGAGCGUCGACCCGACACCCACACAAGCUCCAUCAUCUUCAUCAGGUCAGCAAGUUAAGGUCCUUCUCAAGAUAGGAGACCUUGGACUGAAGACCCGAAGAGAGAAGGAAGUCUAUCAGCAAUUGAAGAACAAAGAUUUCAUUCACACCCCUACUAUCGAUCCAAUCUUACUACAAGAAACAGGUAUGGACACUGAAUUUGACUUAAUUUUCCAGAUGUUAGGUUGGAUAAAUUUUUGGAAUAUAACUGAGCUGGGUUCUCGUCUUCUCACCCUUGAAUUUCUUUGCACUUUACAAUAAUAUGAGGGGGGAAUUGUUUUUCGGAUGUUUAAACAAGAAAUUAUGUUAUCUUGAAGAGAACUGAGCGACCAUCUUGGUUUCUCUUCAAGAUGCAUCCUGAACAUUGACUCCGAUUUACCCAAUUUUGAGAGACACCAGUUUUGGAGAGAAAUAUCUAGAGAUAAUUUUUACAGUCAAGCCCGAACCAGUGACAUGGAACACCCUAUUCUUAGGAUGUUCCACAAAUGGCUUGGGUACAAUCUUUUCUAUCGUGAUGAUAUUAGGAAAGUAAGAGUAGGAGAUUUACAACUUUUAUAUGCUACUAUUAGUAAAAUACCCACUUCACCUGUUACACUAUUAGUUUCACAUUGGCUUAGUAUACCUAGUCUUCAGGGACCAGUAGGAUGUACUUCACUUAUCACUCGUCUAGCUUCUAAUCUUCACUUACUAGAAAACUCAUCGUUGGAUUUCAUAGAAGAAUUAAGAAUUUAUCAUGGCUAUGACACAUUUAGACAAGCUCGGAUGUUAAAGAAAGAGGGAAAUGUAAUGUAUAUGCUAUAUGAUGAUAAAGGCAAGAUUCGGUUACCUAACCCGAGCCUUGGCCUCUACGUUGUGCAAAACUUUUUGAUUGAGAUUGCAGCAACACCAGUGAACCAGAGAACUCCACAGCGAGUGGCUUCCGAAAGGAUAACCACUCACCGAGAACGCACCUGGUAUGGAGCUGACCCUAGACCAGAAGAAGCAGCGCACCUGCAUUAUUGCGAUUACAACCCUCGAGUCCUUCGAGACCCAUGGGCUCGACAUGCGCAACCACAAGAGCCAACAGAAGAGACAUGGCCGGAGAGCCAAGAUCACCAGUGGACAAACCCGCCUUUUCAUACGGGCAGGUACUCCACUGAUCCAUACGGAGCUUCGGGAUCCAGACGUCCGCCCCAAUUUGAUGCAGGAUGAUACUCCGACGCCUCCUACGCUUUCACAAAUGACUACUAUCAAGAGGCCGGUGCUUUCUUCACUCGUACCGACAACACCCUCCUCGACAUCCAGAAUACGCAAGCAGAACAUGGAAGACUCCUGGAAGAACAACAAAAAUGGAACCAGGACCAUGCAGCUGCAGUAGAAGAGCUGAGACAAGAUACAACAACAAUGAACGAUAACAUUACAACCAUGAUGCGGUUCUGGAACAUCGGGUAAGACCGACGGCAACAUCCAGCUUGGGGGAGUUCCUCCCCAAUUUAUCAAGUAAGUUUCUAUUUACUCUUCUUAUUUAUUCUUUUCUAUUUUAUCUUAAGGAGAAAAAAAAAUUAGAAAACCAAAUAAAUAUUUUCUUGCUUUAAUUUACUGCAUUUUAAUAAACAUGAAAACAAAAUAAAAAGAGUGUGUAGAUAAGUGUGCUUUAUUUUUCUGCUAAGUUUAAUCUCUAAAAUAAAAUAUAUAUAUAUAUAUAUAAAGACCAAAAAUAUGCAUGAUGGAAAUGAUGAACAAUUGCUCUGUUUGCUUACUUACAAGUACCUAGCUUUUAUAUUAGAAUUCUUCUAGGAAUUACUAAAACUAAAAUUACUAUCUUUGGGAAGCAUAAAACUAAAGUCUAGGUAAGAGAAAGGCAUGAUAUAAAGUUGAGCUACUGUUUAUCCUGUUUCUACUACACUAAGUUCUGGAGAUUUAUUUUGAAAACUUACAAAUCACAUGAUGAGUUCCUAGCAUACAAAACUACCUACCACAGCCAUACUUGCUAUAACAUCUUUUACUAUAUUCACAUUGAGUUUGAUCGAGCUGUGUAGACCCUUAGGAGCUUUUUAUGUGGUUAAAUUAAGAUAUUCACUUGCACACAUCGACCACAGCAUCCAUCAUCAAUUAUUAAAAUUGCUAAAAAUAUUUUUACUCACUGUCCCGAAUAUUGUUAUUCUCUCUCUAAAAAGAUUCAAUGCAGAAGAGGCAUGGGUUAUGCAAAAAUAUGCGAGGAAAUAAAAAGGGGCAAGUGCCCGGAACCUCGAUAAAGAAAGAAAAAGAGUGAGACGAGAGGUAAAAAUGGACAAGUGUACGAAGUAGAAUUAGGGGUACAAAGAUGCCCACUUGAAUUAGGGGUAUCUACUACCCACCUGAAAAAAAAAAGAGAAAAAAGAAAGAAAAGAUAGCCCAUGUUUUCCAAAAGCAAAGAUCAAAGAAGAGGAGAGAUAGCAAUAUGAGGAGCAAUGAGAACUAAGUUUUAUUAACACUUAUACAUUUUCACCAUCACUAUCAUUUACUCCACCACACAUGCACAUUUUGAUUUAAUUAUAUGCUGAGUUCCUUUGGAUCCAUGGCUCGAUUAGACAAUAUAUGUAUGAGCUGUUUUUCACUCCUAUGAGCUCCACUUAAAUAUUCCAUUAGCUAUAGUUAAGUGACAUUAUGGUAAGGAUCCACAAAUACCACAUAUAGAGAGACUUGAGAGAAUCAUUGCUGGGAACUCUGAGUUUUAUUUUGAAAACUUAUAAAAAACUCUAGAACAAAGGUGAAGUAUAGACAGGAGGGAUAGUGCUUGACUUAACUAUUUUGUCUUUCGAUUACUUAAGACUUAAGUGUAGGUUCUAAACUCCAUAACACUUCACUCUAAUCUGGAAGAGUUUUAUGUAAAAGCAUGUGUGCCUGUCAGGAAAGAAAACAUCGAAGCAACUCCUGAUCCGUCUGAGUUUAGCUGUUUGCUCAGGGACGAGCAAGGGGUAAGCUUGGGGGAGUUUGUUGACGGUCCUUAAGUACUAAAAUUAAUAAUCAAAUAAACAUGAAAAAGGAUCAAUAUGAAACAAACAUCUAGAAUUAGGGUUUUAUCUGACAGAAUUCCACGAGUUUUGGUGUUUAUCUAUUUCUGCAGGGGUUUAUCAGAAAAUAUGGAGAGAAGGCCCACAUGUCAUGUUUACAAUGAGAUAAUUACGUGCCGCGCAAUUUUCCUCAAUCUAGAAGAAUCCAGAAGCCACGGGAAUGAACGAGAAGGGAUUCGGGCUCGGGGGCAGGGCGCCCGCCCACCCCCCUUGGGCGCCCGCCCAGUGUAGGAGUCCAAUCAGGACUCUGCUUCGGGACAACGCUCCACCGACCUAAAGGAUCAAUCUAAACCAUACAAUCUAUGUCGGUUUGAUCCAAUGGCUCACGUUCACUUGAGGGGACUAUAAAACCAGACCCCCUGGCCCCUGGAGGAGAGGAGGAGAAAUCAAUAUUCAGAGGUAGCCAUCAAAGUUAGGGUUUAGAGCUUCUCUCCCACAGAGAAUUAGAAUUAGCUACUCCCUAAUCCUUCAAGUUUAGAGGUUGAUUAGAUAGCAAUU